RNAcentral lists this long non-coding RNA (59027 nucleotides) under Medicago truncatula (barrel medic). RNAcentral's name for it is "long non-coding RNA (MTRU_LNC005158)". The stretch from base 39947 to 40206 matches the Rfam family "MIR2655 microRNA precursor family". The record is from RNAcentral. Lineage: Eukaryota; Viridiplantae; Streptophyta; Magnoliopsida; Fabales; Fabaceae.
CUGUUAGUAUAAAAGCAUCAUUUCUCAAAUAUCUGCAACCAAGGAAAGACGGGAUGAUCCAACCAAAAAACCGAGUUAGAGAGAAGAGGGGGGAGUCAACAUAGUCUUCCUAUACUUACUAAACUAUUGAUGAUAUAUGUACACAUGUAUGUACACCUAUCUAAUAAAGAUCUACUUUAUGCUAAGCAGAAUUAAGCUUGCAAUUUUGUUAGCAUGGAAAUUCCAACAACCAGCAGGUAGAUUCUCCCCACAGGAGCCAAGGUCCAAAGUUUUCCGCACCAAGUAUAUAUCAUUCUACAAACACGUGAAAAGAUAUAGUAAGCAUAAAUUUACAAAAUUCACAGACUAAUUUAAUUCGUUGCUCAUAAUAACUAUGAAGUUGAGGCAAAUGAAAAAGAAACUAUCUAGAGCAAAUUGUACUCACCUCCCCUAAGGUUUUAUUAAAAGAAGCUCACAUCCCCUCUAGCUUGGGAAAAAUAUCCACCUCCCUUAAUGCUUGCAUGAGUAAGGCACUUCCCCCGUAAUUAAAUUUUUGGAUGUUCUUUCCUAAAAGUUUGUAUGUUUUUUACAAAAAGUUUUGGAUGUUUUAUUAAAAUUAUUUAAUUAGUACCAUUCAACCACAAUCGCAGUUGAACUAUUGAACUGGUGCAUCGACCAGUUCAAUAACAGGUCUAGUUAUCAAAAGUAAAGGCCAAUAUCCGAUCUACGGCAAAACUUUUAUAUACCAAAUUUCCGAGACCCAAUUAAGGUUUUCAACAGAUCACCCAGAACACAAGGAGAUAUAUUUUAUGUUUGCCCAAACCAGCUCAAAAAAAAUCUAUCAUCAUUUUCUCGAUUAUAUGAAUAGGUAAUCUGAUAAUCCAAGAAGAAAGUGGACUCCCAUAGUAACCAAGUACUGGCAUUGAAAUUGAUAUGGACAAAAACUCAAUUAUAGCAUGCAAACCUGAAACUGUACAAUUUCCACAUAAGACAUAGCAUGGACUAAAGCUCUUUUGAUUAACCAGGAGAAGUGUAUAACAAGAUAUAUUAGCACAUCGAGAACCGAUUCCCACCCACAGAGAUUUGUCCAGCCAAAUAUUCUGUAUUCACAAGAUCACCAACAUAGUGUUUUAGCAGCCAAGAAAGGAAGAAAAGGAAAGCAAAGACAGAAGAUAGCUUAUUGACAUGUCAGGCCUUACUAUUGCGACUAAACAGGUAUAAUUUCCACUAAACCAGGAAGAAGGAACCAAUAGUUGUCUGGCCAAGAACCUUGGAACUCCGGUCGAGACCAUGAGAAGCAACCUAAAACAAGAAAACAACCGUGUCCAUUGGUAUUAAAAAAAUAAAAUUAAAACACAGAUAAGGUGUGAUGUGAGUAUAGAAUAUUGCUUCACCAUAUAUGUCAAAGCAGCAUAACGCUCCAUGUUCAAGAAGAGUGGCUUGCCUCUAUUCAUUUCAAAAUCCUGAAGUGAAGAAUAUUACAAAUAAGAGAUAUUUUGAAGAAAUGAAGACAAGAAUCACAACUCAAAACAUAAAUUUCGCAAGAUAUAUUUGAAAUUAUAACUUCAGUAACACGUUAAAAGCCUAAAUCUAACAGAGAAUUCCAAAACAAGUAAUAACGCAUGCAAAGUUAAUUACUUUGCAAAAAGCAUAGAGACAUAAUGGAAAAGAGAGAAGAGACAGUCUGAAUAACUGAUACUAUUAUGAAGAUGUCAAAGGCAAACUGACCUCCUCACCAAAAGCAUCCAAGUAAGGAGAAGGCCAAGGGGCCUGGCGUGCAGAUCUCUGUAGUAGGAUGGUAGUUCUCUGUGAAUACACACGCAAUUCAUUACUCCCAAGGUAUCAGUGUAAAUAAGUAACUAAUUAGUAGUUACUUAAAGAAUAAAAAAUAGCAAGAAAAGAUGGCCGAAAAAGAAAUCCAAGGGGGGAGAUUAAAAUAUACUGAACAAGAGCAGCCUAGUGAUUUGAAAUGUAAGUUUAAGAAAGAAUGCAAUACCCUGGUCAACAGAAACACUCCAGUACCAGCUCCACAAGUUACGGAAUGAGUUUGACAUCCACUUUCCCUGAAAAUGCAACAAAACAGAUAUGAAUCCUUUCAAAUUCUCAUCAAUAAUCAAAUGCAUUAGUAUAAAUAAACCAAGGCCAACUGAAAUGGCUUGAAAACAAAUAUGAACGCUGAGAAAUAUCCGAACAUAAGAAAAAUUGUUGCGCAUCAGUUAACCCGCCUAAUUUGAAUGUCAAUGUAGCUAGGUGCAAGCUUACAGACACAAGGUUUACAAACACAUGUUAAGAGGCUCAAAUUAAAGAUUUAGCAGCUGCCAAUAAGCAUGUGAAAAAAUCCUGUUGAAUUUUGAACCCAUGGAAGAAUAAUUCCAACCACCUUUGUAAUAGUUUAGUACAGCAUAAGAAUCUGAGACAACUUAAAUGCUUGUGAUUAGCAUAAACGAUAAAUCCAAAGGAAAUUGGUGGAAAAUGAACCUGCAGCAUGAUUUCCAACUUGGGGAGCACAAUCUACCACACAACAGGCACAAUGCAGGAUCAUCAAGACGUCCUUUGCACUCAGGGCAGCGCUGUUUGACACACCUGUAUAUGAACAUGAGUGGUAGUUUAUAUUAAAAAGUAGUAGUGAUUGUAGUAAUAUGGUACCUCACAUGACACACAAUUAAAAUACCUCUGCAAGAGAUCCUGAUAAACAUUUGGUAAUCUCAUUAACUCAAACGGAACUGCAGGAGUUACAUGAAUAUUACGUUGAAUUCUUUUUGAUUCAAAUUCCUUGCAAAAAUGACGACACCAAAUAGAGACUGAAGAUCUUGAAAGUUCAUCCUUGAGAACCACGUCCAGAGGGGGAAUUUUAAACAUAUUCUCAAGCUCUUGAAUUUUAGUAACCUCAAACUUGUUAAUAUCAACACUGCUGCACAUUGUGUCCCUUGGGAGAUGCCAUGAUCUAUUUGACGUAUUUUCCCCAUCACAGAAUGGUGCUGGGAUAGAAGAAUAGAGUAUCUUCCACAACAAAGCACAUCUUCGCAAAUAGGGUAAACUAAACCUCCUAAUUGCAUCUUUAAUAUCAACAUUAGCAUCGAAAUAGUUUGACACAAAAUACUGUGAAGCGCAUCCAGACUCUCCCAUAAUUUUAUUUAUGUCAGUGAUCAUGCAAUCUGAAAGAGUUGAUUCACUUGAUGAUUUAUCCAGGGAUUUCUCAUGAUACAAAAUUAUAGCCUGUAUCCAGCAGAAAAUGGAUUAGGAAAUACGAACACUAUCAAGGAACACGUAAAAAAUGAAGUAUAAAGUACCAACCUGGGUUACAGCUACCAUAUAGAAAGCAUGCACUAGCGACAACAAUGAUUCUUCACAUGAUAAAAAUGGGUGUGGCAGGCAAAAGAGAACCCACAUCAACGUUGAGAAAGGGUCGUGAGCAAGUACAGGAUCUGAAGCCUCAUUCCAAAAGCAUAUAUCAGUGUUUGACUGGUCCAUUUCAAUAUGCUUUAAGACAGAUAACAUAUCACCUGUGAAUAUUUAAUGGUUACAAAAUAUUACAAUCAGUAGCAGAUAAAAACAGGGAAACACUUCAAAAAAAAAACUUGAAAAUAAAUUCAAACAAAAUCUUGGUAUGCAGACCAUGCAUACAACUAAUUGAAUUAUUAUUGUUAAUAUUAUAAUUAAAUUAGGAGUUCAGAAGCAAAAGAAGCCCUCAUUUAAAAUUGCUUUGAUAACUUGUCAUUUUAGGUUUGACGAAAGGAAGAAAUAGAAUUCCAUAAAUUUAUUCUAGAAGAAUCUAAGGUGAUACACUUUAUAUGAAAACAAGCGUAGAAAACAAAUCAACUUUAAGCCAAACAAAUUUCAAACAGUAAAAAAUUUGUCUUAUGAAACCAAUAAAUUUGAAACAACAUCAGCAGCGACGAAGAAUUUCCCUUAAGCCAAUGGAUUUGAAAGCAUUAAAAAAAUACUACUGUUAAAUGUGGAUUGGAUUUCAGCUGGAAUCUGUAUAAGGCAGAUACUAUACUAAUAAAUAUUGACAAGAUAAAUGUAGUCUCCUAGUUUUUUAAGGAUGUAAUUACAAGUUUUCUAAAAGAUAUAUAACCGCCAAUGAUUCACCUCCUACCUCUUUUAAAAAGAGAACUUUGUAAUUUAAUUUUCUGUAUCGGUUAAAAAAUACAAAUUUUCUUUUUCCUUUAAAGCUAUUAAUAGAAAGAAAACAGUGGGAAAUUAAAAUUAAAAUAGUGAACAAAUCCUUUUGGGUUUGAAGAAACAAAAAUAUGAGAACAAGAAUAAUACCUCUCCCAGAAAUAACAUUAUCUGCAUGACUAAGGGAAACCCCAGAGCAAAUUGAUUCUGCAAAGAGCUGAACACCUCUAAAUCUUUGAAGUACGUGAAUUGAAUUCUUACUUCGUGUCUUUUGAACAAGUUUCAGCAACAUGUAUAAUAUAAAGCCACUUGAAGAUUCAAGUUCUUUAUACAUGGCACUGAGAGCAAAGUUUGGAGUCAGAGAAGUCUUUCCACAACGUGCAACAAUCUCCAUUGAGGUCAAUGAGUACUUGAGAGUGUCCCACAUCAGCAGUGAGUGAUUAACUUUUGAAAACCUCGAUAACUUAUCUUGUUUUCCAGGGAAAUACAUUUUAGAAAGCCCCAGUGAAAAUUUUUCAACAUUUGGUCUAGUUUCAUCAAUAUGAUGUAAAGGAAUAGCUUUUAGGAAUUGAUCUUUCCCAACGGCAUUGGCAGCAGACUUUAAGAGGUUAAGGGCUUCUUGAAUGCGAAGUGAAUAAGUCGCGCCGUUCGAAUCAGCAAAGGGGGAUGUACUAUGUAUUGAACUCGCACUCAAGACAAGAGGAGUGUGUAAUUCUCCAGGUAAAGUCGGCAAGACACCAUUAACAAGUCGGCGGCACACUGGGCAGAGAAUCUCUCCCUUAAAAACAAUAAAAGGGAAAAAAAAUAAGAGUAUUGCAAAAUAAUAACGUCAAUAGAUAGCAUUCAUCAACCCUUUCAAAUUGAUAAAAGAAAUUAUAUAAAAAAAAUAAAAAUAAAUUAAACCUGAUCUGGGUCAACAAUGUGUCCUCCUUCAAAAACAAUUCUUCUGACAGACCUGUCCAAGCAGUAGAUAGCAUAUCAGAGCAUCUUAGAAACUCAGUCAAAAUAACAAUAUAAUAAUAAUAAUCCCUCCAUUGCAAAACAAAAACUUGAAAAUCUAUUUGAAGCAUUUAACUAUCCAUGUAUUGUGAAUGUGUGUGGAUGUGCGCGCACGCAUAAAGGUUCAUUGGAUUUGAUUUGAUUCAAUAACUCAGUCAGCCAUGUGUAUUAAUAGGUCCUGAGCUUCUUGAAUCGGCAAAUAAAACAAAUGGAAUAGAAGCCAGGCUUUUGGAUGAUGAUAAUUGGGAGUAGAAAAUAAAACAAAUGGUUUUAGAUAUUAAAUUAAAUAGCAAACAAUUGAAUGGAAUAAAAACUUUUUUAAAAUAGGACUAAUGGUAAUUUUUAACAGUUUGACAUUGGUUAGAAAAAGGAAAAAAAAAUAAUACAUUUCCAACAUGGGUUUCAAGCCACCACUAGACGACCAUUCCAAUGUUCAGCUUUAAUAUUUUUUUGAGGAUAAAUGUUUCAACCUUUUGAAGAGACGUCUUCUAAAACUUAUCUGUAUUCUGCUGCGCCGUAAAACGGUGACAGUUGGUCUACUAAGUAUGCCCUAACAUAAAGACAGUAUGUCUACUAAGUACGUAUGUUAAGAAAGACAAAAUAGAGGCAUGUGUUUUGCAACUACACCGCAUUCUUAUUUCUUAAUAUUUAUGCUUUGAAUGUAAGAAAUAUGAAGAUACAGUUCACGAAAUUAUUGAAUUUAUAUGAUAUGAUAGGACACUGCCAAUGACAUCACUUCUCAAUGCAGUCUAUCCCACGAAGCGGGAAUAGGCUUUGGCUGUUCUCCUAUAUUUGCAUGUGGCUGUUCUCCUAUAUUUGCAUGUGGCUGUUCUCUCCUAUAUCUACAUAAUAUACUGAGCCUAGACGUCUACAAAUAAGCAUAACAAGGAAGUAUGCACUUCAGAUAAGAAUUUAAAGGUCUAUUUUAGUAAAAAAAAGGGUCAAUAAAGGGAUUAAUGUUGUGAUUAGUUAAGGGUAAGCCUUUGUACAGGCUGUUACUUCUGUUUGUUACUUUCAGUUUAAGUUAAUUAGUUGGUUAGGGUUAGUUAGUUUGUUUUGGCUAAUCUCCCUUCUCUAUAAAUAGAAGAAUGAGAUAAUCCUAUGCAUUGUUUAUCCUUCUGCUUAGAAUUUUGAGUGGUGUACCCAGAAUGAAGAGGGCAGUCUAUUGUAUAUCUUUUUCAUUGUUCAUAAAUAAAAUCCAGGGACGAAUAAUCCCCUUUAUGUUCCUGUUGCCUCAAAGAAUACUAACAUCUAUACUGAACCUGAACAUAGCAACACACAUUUCUAGUGAAAGAGGAAUGCCCAUUCUCAUGAACCAGGCACGGAUGAAGAAAUCAUGUAUUAGUGCAAGUGAAUUCAAAGAACACAUUUGGAAGUGAAUUUAAUCGAGAAUGAAAUUAUAAAAACAAUAAUCUGCAUAAUGGUUUCUUGAUCUGAAAGGGGCGAGUUAUAAAUAAAAAGGAAAAGUUCAAUAAUGUUAAUGCAUGGCUGCUUUGACAUCACUAGAGGCAGAGGAAAACGUAGAAAAACUAUAAGAGAAACUAUAAACAAAGAUCUAGAGAUUAAUGAAUUAGAUAGAAAUAUGGUAUGUGAUAGAACAUUAUGGCGUUGUUUGAUCCAUGUAGCCGACCCCACUAAGAUGAGGCUUGAUUGUUGUUGUAUAGUUGCUUUGACAAAAUAUUUUUCCUUUUUAUUUACAAAAAUGACACAUUUUUUCUGUUUUUAAAUAAAAUACACGAAAUACUAAAAAUAUAAACAUUUUCUGAAACUAAAUAUACACUUAAACAGUUAUGCACAAAGAUCAUCAACAUAAGAAAAGGUGAGUUGUGUGGAUAAAGCUAAAUGAAACGUACCUUUCUUUUAAUGAACUCAAAUAUCGGUUAAGACACCCUUGAUGUACAGCAUGCCCACAAGAAGAAAGAUGAACUCCAUCACAAUCUGUUGGGCCAAAUCCAUCAUUUGAUAGAUGCGGUGAUGUUGAUUCUACAGAAGCAUUCUCAUUACUAGCAUUUCCAGAUGCAGAAGAAAUCUCCGACAUCUCUUUCACAACAUCAGCUGCAUAUUUCCCAAGCAACGCACAUUCAGUAAUUCUAACAUUUGAGUUCCCUUCGGCAGUUGAAACUUUCUCAUCCUCAUUCAUCGUAUUUGAAGAUGACAGAUCAUGCAUUUCGUCACGAAUGGAAACGUGCAUAACCUGCUCUAAUGUAUCGAAAGUAUAUGGUGAUUUUUCUUUUUCAUCACAAGACAUGUCUGGGAGUUGAAAAUUUUCCAAUGCUGGGAAAUGAUUCUUGAUAUAUUGUAGAAAAGUAUUAACUUCCCCAGGUUGCGCACUAGAUCCUAAUUCACUGGCCGCAUUCUGAACUAACUGAGUUGAGUCAGAAGACGAAGUUGAUUCCGAACUACCUGAAUUCUCACGUGUGUCUAUCUCCUUGGUGUUAGCAACAGGCAUAUGUUCUUUAUCUGAUCGGCGAAGUUGGGUCCAUGAUGGAGGACCUCUGUCAACAGAACUAACAAGCCUAGAUUUCUUGUACAUAGAUAAAGGCAGGGAUUAGAGGACAGGAUAAAAUAAGUGUAUCAAAUUCAAAAAAUGCAGCACAAAAAACUAGAUACCUGAAGAAGAAUCAAAAAUGAAAUUGGAUGCCUUGAACUAUGGUCGUGGCAGAGACAGCAAACAACUUGUUUGGAAUCUUCAGAAUCAUGUUCAGUGUUUAAGUCUUGUUCAGUGUCCAAGUCACCUUCAUGACCAAGUUGAGAACCAUCAUCAACAUUUGAUUCAACGCUAGCCAUAAAUUUUGUCUGUUGGGCUCUCAUCUUCUCCUACAUUAAAAACCAAGUAAACCAAGAGAGAAAAUUCAAAUGGUGAAGGCAAUUAAAUAGGCACCGCAGAACAGGUCAACCCCAUUCUGAUCUAAAAGUAAAUAAAUCAUGUCUAGCGCAAUAGAGAAUAUUUGCAACCAAAUGCCUUCCUUAGCCUGUAACUGUAAUAAAAUAACAACCUGGAAGAUAUGGAAAGCAUAUCAUUCUUAAUAUUCAAGAACUUAAAUGUUUCAAAAAUUAAUAGUAUAGCAAGUAUUUUAUGCAAUAAAAACACAUGAAGGUCAUCAGACAGAAACAUUAUAACACCUCUUUAAUAUCAAUCACUAAAAUAGAGAGUAUCACAACAACUUACCAUUAUUGCAGCCUGCCUCUCUCGAGCUUUUGCCUUGCGUUUCUCGGUGUCAGAAGCUGACAGAGAGACACUGGAGUCUCCAGCUGGAACACAUUCCGGAAUAUGAUUCACCACUUUAGGGGCAAGUUUUUGUAACUUAAUCAUGCAACUUUCAUCAAGCUCAGCAAAUUUUUUCAGUAAACUUUCAACUAGAGCAGAUAAACCACCAGCUUCUACAUUGCUGUCAUCAUUUUCCUUUCUGUUCAUUUCCAUCAAUAAAACAAGAAGAGACAACAAGCUUUGUUCCCCGACACCAUAAAAUGAACUCUCAUCAAUUAUUUCUCCAGAUAAUGCUAUAAUGGGAAUUUGUGCAAUAUUAUUAAAUGCAUUAUCACUAUUUUCUUUCUGCUGAAAGCAGAUAUCUAAGGAUAAUGAUAACAAAUGUAGCGCCGGUAGAAGAACAUUAUCAGGAGCACGAGAUUCAGCAGAUUUAAAAGUAACAACAGCGUAAAAUAGCACGGCGCGGAUAAUCUCAAGGACAACUUUACAAGUGGCUAUUCUGGAUAUCCCCUUCAAGGGAGGAUAUAUGGGGGUCCAUUUGGGCAGCUGAGUAGUCAGUGCAGAGACGCUGCAGAAGCGCAGGUAUCUUUCUUCAGCAACUUGUAAAUCUUUCGAAUUCCAACGCGGAUGAUACAAAUCCAGUUCUUUCCAAAGUAGCCAUCGUAGAGAAUACAUACCCUAACAUAAGAAAAGAAAAUUACAAAAAGACAUGGGUACAAAAGAAAGUUGUAAAUUUCUACAAGAGUCUACAAAACCUGAUUAAAGCCAGAUGGAUUGGAAUAUUCAGCAACAGUAUCCAAAACAUCUUGAAGCUUGUCAAACUUGGAGAGAUCACGAGGAAGAGACUUCACCAAUUGACUAUGAGUAGCAUCUCCAAUAGAUAGCUUAUAAAUUAGUUCUCUUUUCAAACUUUCAGCAGUAUUUAGCCCACAAAAGCGCCUCUCUUUUACUAUUUGAAUAAUAAGAGUAAGCAUUUCUUGGACUAAAACAGGUUCAUAUCUGAAAAUAAGAACGAAAGAAAAUUAGUUUGAAAUUACAUAAAAUAUAUCCAAAAGUAAGGUCUAUGAAUGGUGUGCUUAUGGUAUGUAGUUAUUUGCUGUAUGUGGUUGGAGAUGAUGCUGUGUUUCUGCUUAAUUUUUCUCGGUAAAACAGUGAGGUUGCUGCAUUGUGACUUGGAGGUCACGGGUUCAACCCCCACCAGGUGGGAGCCUUGUGCAUAUGACUGCCUGAUCAUUUUUAAUAUAAAUUAGUAUUCUUAGAAACUGUCUUUUUUAAGGGGUUUCUUUGUUGGGGUACGCAGAAUGACAGGCUUUACCCACUAUUCUUUUUCCUCUAGUAUAAUUUGAUUAUGUUAUAUUUUUUAGGAGGAUUUCUUAUCAUUUUCUUCUGAACUAAUUUCAGUCUGAAUUAAUGUUCUAAAGAGAAAGACAUAAAUAAAAAUGAAAUUUUGUAAUCCAUACAUUGUACAUUUCAUCAAGCUAAAACUAAUAUACUGGUCUAUCUUAAUGUUUAUAUGAUUUGUACGCCUGACACAUUGCACAUAGUUACUCAUUGAAUUAAAGCAAUUUUCAACGUGCAUUAUGAACUGCAUUAGUUUGAGUUGCAUAAGAAUAAUGUUUGUAUUAUAACUGUUGGGCCUAUAUGUAGAGAAGACCACAGAGGCUGCAAAAUCAACACAAUUCAUGCUUCAAAAAAAAGGUUUAUUUAAGGAAAACAAUUAAAGCAUGUCUUAAGAACUUAUAUCAACACAACAAAAAUGGUUUAUUUAAUGCUUCAUAAAAAAUUGGUUUAUUACAAUUAAAGCCUUAAGAACUUAGUUGAUAUUAACUUGAACAAUACAGCAUGUUUAUCCAUUUAUAAAACACCAUAAAUUUAUGAAAAUUGAAAGUUUUUCGUGUUGCAGAAGAAGACAUACUCGCUAGACUGUUCAAGAUUCAGGGAUAAGUAGUUUGCCAGUCCAAAGCGUUCUAAAACUCUCCUGACAAAAAGAUCUUCUGGAGCAAGUGCAGCACAACAUUGAAGAAGAAAUAGAUCAAGCUCCAGACCUUGUUCAGACCUGUAUCAUUAAAAGACUGAUAUAACAUAAUAGAAUUGAUAUGUUUCAGACCUUAAAUACUCCCUCUGUCCCUAAUUAUAAGCACUCAUCGAGAGAGAAAAAAUUCCCUAAAUAUAAGCCACUUUCCAAGUUCCUAUGUGCAUUUUUUUUUUUUUACCAGAUCAAACGCUCCCUUAUACGCGAAGGGUAAUUUAGUAAUGGUAACACAGUACACGCAUAAUUGCACCAACAGCUUUUCCUAAUAUAUGUGAAAAAUGUCAAUGGGUGCCUAAUACGCAGCAUACAAAUUAUACUAAAACAAAAUUGACUUACCAGCGCACUGAUCUAUACCAUUCACAUGAUAGUAAAGCAGCAUCUCCAUUUUUACGCCACAUUCCAGCAUGGACUUCAGCACAAAAGACCCUAAUUCGCAACGGAUUCUCCAUUAUAAAGGCAGAGAAACCAUAUGGAUGACUUCCUCGUAAAGCAUGUCCAAAGAAGUCGCUAUAGAUUGUUGAUGAUGAAUUUGCAGCACAAAUGUCAGUCUUAUCCAGCACUUCAGAUUCACAAAAAUAUCUUCUUAGUGCCUUUUGUAAAAGCAUUGAAAGGAAUCUGUGAAACGGAAUGUGAACAGAUAUAUUUUGUGAACUAACAUCAUAGGCUAUUUGUGGCCAAUCAGGUGAUGAUAGAAAACGUAGCCCAUCUGAUUCCACAGGAAAAUCUUCUUCCAUGGCACAAUCAUCUGAUGAUGUGAGCAGAUAUUUUUCAGAUAUUCUAACAUUAUCAGAAUUGGAAUGAAAGGAGGUGUUUUCUGAACCUUCAUCAUUUGUUUUCAAUUUACCCCUUCUAAAAUUAGAUAUUGUUCUUUUAAAUGCUGAAAAAUUAUCAGUACUACUAGGAGGUACCUCACGUGCACUCUCAACUCCUAACCAAUUUUCAACAGCCCUUAAACACUCAUAUAUCAACCAAGUGACAGAAAAUGGAAGCAGAUGAGAAGAGCCAUCAGAUUUUAUCUCAAGAACACUUGGUGAAGCAAAGACACUACUUCUACUAGUCACGCUACAGGCAGAACUUUCCUGGGAUAGUCGCCCUACCUUAGCAUGUCUUUGAUCCUCCCCAUCAUCCGAUUCAUUUGUAUUCGAGCUCCAAACAAUUUCAUCAUCCACCUCUCCCUUGCUAGCAUCAGAAAAUGCCCCAUCCACAAAUAGAGAGUGAAUAUUGGCUAUAAAGUGUCCUAAAGCAAAAGGCAAAUGGACAUUCUCAUUUUCUUCUUCUAUGUGUUGACCUGUUUCUCUCUUUUGAGGGUUCAUUCCUUGCACAUAGGACAGAAGUUUCAACCAAGUUCUUGAGAAAUCUUGAUGGUUAUUGGUUACAUAUUUGGACACCUCUGCAUGACUCAUAACAAACCGAAUAUCUUCAACAACACGUAUUGUCAUCUCAUACAAAUGUACCCACCUGGAAACCUGUAAAAGGAUCGUAUAUUUCUUAAUCAAAACAUAGUGAAAGAAGAUUGAAAACAUGAUUAUAAGAAGUAUAACUGCAUUUCAUUUAUCGAAACUUCUUAACCAUCUUAACAGCUAGAUCCACUCAAAAUCAUCUACAAGUAUAAAAUCAAGCAAGUCGCACACUCGGUAUACUUGACAUAUCUCAGACAUCACAUCUACCCGAGUUGUAAACUUUAAAGAGAUGUAAUCGUUCAUUACCUGUAAACAUCCAUUUUCAGCACAAGAAAUGAAAAUAUCUUCCAAACAUCCAAACAGCAUGGUCAGUAGGUUGACUUCCUUCACAAGACGAGGGGUAAGAGUGGGCACUGUAAGUAUCUGCACAGAGAACAUGGACACCAGUGGAUAUCUCUUUAGUGGAAGGUCGCUGCCCUCUUUAAUGGCCUCCUUUAUAACACUCGGAUAGUAAGUGAGAAAAACUUUAGCAAACUCAUACUUAAAAGUAGGUUCUCCCAACAAUUUCAGGAACAGCUCAUGGAGUUUCUUUACAACAUCAUUAGUUGAAAACCUCUCAGCUCUCACCAGGACGCUCAAUAAAUCAGUAGAGGAAAACAUCAACCUAGCAAUAAAACUGAGCAAACUCUCACUAUGCUUGCAAAAUUCCAAAAGCAUGUCAGCCAUAGCAAAAGUUAGGUCAUUUGCAGCCUUCUUUCUUUUCGGAACAGAAUCACUCGCAGUCGUUAGUCUAACUUCCCAACAUUUGAAAAGAGAACGAAGCACAGGAGAAACAGUGUUUUCAACUUCGUCCGGAAGCGGUUGCACAUGCUCCACACCCUUAUGCAUUGAACAAAACCCCUCUCGCUUCCACGCAGUCACAUCCCCACAAUCACAACAACCACCACCCGUGUAAAUGACAGAGUAAUCAUGCCCAGUGUGAUCCCCAUUCUGAAAACAAGGAACACAGAUAGCGCAAGUCGGGUCAUGUUCACAAGUCCUACACCUAUAAGCAAUAUCAGUACGUCCCCAAACCGCCCCGCAAACACCUCCCUGACCAACCAUACUAGAAAGGCGUCUCAAAGCAUUUCCCGGGUCAUCCUCAAACAUCAACCAUUGCAACCACACCAAACUCUCUUGAAACCUCUUCUUCAAACCCAUCUUCGAAUCUUGAGAUACUGCCAGUUCCGCAUCAGCAGGCAAUACAACAGACACUAUAUAAUCAAUCACCUCCUUCUUCUCUUUCACAAAAGCAACCAAACCAGAUGGGGUAAGCUGCUCUUCAGGAACCCCAUACUGUACAAGCCUCUGAAAAUCAUACCAAAACCAUAAAUCAAACAUCCAUUAAAAUUUCAAUAUAAAAAAUUCAACAUUGGAUAAAUUUCACUAAACCUAAAAAAAAAAAAUAUAAAUGAACCAAAUUUCACUAAACAAUUAAACAAUUCAAAAUUGGGUAAAUUUCACUAAAUUAACCAACAAAUCAUUACUCAUUUCUUAAUUUUACAUCAUUAAGUGCAAAAUUGAAUAAUCAUACAGUGAUCAAGUGACGAAAAGUAUAAAUUUUCAAUAAAAAAACGGUUUAGAAUGAAAAAAUUACCCGAAUGAUUCGAUCUCGGGGUCUGAGAGGUUGAGAUUCAGAGGGAGAAUCGAUUUCCAUAUUCUCAGCCAUGAAAGAACGUAAAAAGCGAAACAAGGAGCGAGGAUGAAAACCAGAACCUUCACUCCCCAGGUUUGAUUCUGAGGAAUGGAAUUCUUCGCUUCAAUUCCGUGAAGUGAAGAAGAAUUUAGCGAGAAAUUGAAAACCCUAAUUGGAUUUCCGAAAAAUCCCCAAAUUGUGUGUGAAUCGCGUUAAUCGAAUACGAGACUAAACCACUAUUGUUAAUAUGAAAUUGAUUAAGAUGGUGAUGAUGAUGCUUCUUAUAUAUUUUUAUACGAUGCUAUUCAACUACUACACUCAAUUCUCGUACACUAUAAAUUCAAUAGAGUAAUGUUAUUUGAAAAUCGAUUUCAAUGACAACUUAUAAGAAAAGUAUCGAUUUCAAUGAUAACUUACGAGAAAACCAUAAUUUACAAAGAUAAUGAAGUGUUUGCACAAAAAACAUAGCAAUAGAGAAAGGUAAAAAUGUGACUGAAUGAAUAUGAAAGAGAAAGUUAUCAAAAAGUUAUACAAUUAUCAUUUAUUAUUUCAUGGAUGUUUUAGUAUUUUUUUUUUUUUUUUAAAUACAUGGGCUUAUGGGCUAGGAAAAAGAAAAACUACACAAUGACAAAGUUUGGAGAAUUGAUCUUCUCACUUUUGAUUUUGUUUAAUUCAACGUGAGUUAACUCACACUCGACGUUUUUCAAUACGAGUUAACUCAAGUUGGCACUUGUAUGAUCGAUACAACCGUCUUAAAAAGUGAUUAAAUUGAUUUUAAAAGUGUCAGUGUGUGUGUUAACUUACGCUAAAUUAAGGGGAUGAGCAAAAUCAAAAGUGAGAAGGGCAAUUUUCCAAAGUUUGAUGUUGUCUGUGAGCUUAACUCAGUUAAUCAAUCCAACAUAAUAUAUGUAGGGAUGAGGGUUUGUCCUUGUUGGUUUAAAUGAAAACGACGUUACAAAAACGGCCAAAGCUCUUACAAGACAAAGAGAAGGCAAAGAGGAAGUAGUGAAUCAUUCUAAAAGAAACAAAGAAAUUCUGAGUAUUGUUCAACGAAAUUAUCCUUUUGUGGCAAAGAUUCAAACGUAAAGAAAACUUGUGAUGCACUGGCAAAUCUCUUCAACAACGACUCUAUUCAAUUCUUAUAUAAAAUGACCCUAAACAUUUGAAGAAUAUAGAGAAUCACACGCUUUCAAAUUGUGCUAAAACUCUGUUCAAAUUUCAAGCCCACAUAAAUACUUUUAAAAAUUCUUACAAACUUUCAAUCUUAGAAUUUCUCAAGUGUUUAAAAAUCACUCUAAUCUUAAUUUAGUUUACCACUCUUUGAGUCUGAAGUGUAAACAUCAAUCAAAUUAUUUUUAAACUUUGAUUAUAAAAGUUAUCAAAGUGAGGAAGAAAAUCUUAGGCUUGUGUUUGUGUGUCUAAGUAAUUAUAAUCUUAUUUGAUUAUGGUGAAAAAGUCUUUCUUGUGUGAAGGGACCGGAAGUUAUUCCGAAUUUUGGGGUAAACCAGGAUAAAUAUUUAUGUAUAUCUCUUAUCUCUUUCUAUGUUUAUCUUUUGCACCCUCUAAUUAGUUUUAAACUUAUAAAUGAUUUCAGAAGGAAAAAAAUCUAACACAAUCGUACAAAAUCAAAGGAUCACAUGAAUCACACCUAAGAAAAUGUAAGGCAUCACACAAGUAUUUAACCCACGCUAAGAAUGGCAUAUUUUCACUUUCCAGUUCAUUGGUGAUCUCUUAGUUCUUCGCACAAGACUCCUCCUAGAAGCACAUUGAUCGAGCGAGUUAUAAACAACAACAAUUAAAUUAACAUGGAGCUCCACCAACAUGAACUCUCUAGGAGGAACCCACGACGAACCUUGCAACACACACCACAAAACUUCGCAAUGUAGGCACCACAACUCCACCAAAAACUUAGAGAAUCCACAUAAUCGUUCACCAUCUAAACCAUGAAUCAUAGUCGUUCACCAAGCAAAUAGUCAAAUGCCCAUACAAAAUCAAGGAAUCGGCUGAAUCAAAUCAUACCUAAGAGAAGAUAAAGUAUCAACACAAGUAUUCAACUCAAAGUAAGAAUGACACAAUUUCACUUCGCAAUUCAUUGCAAUCUCCUAAUUCUCUGCACAAGACUCCACCUAGCAACAGUACCACCACAUUAGUUGAUAAAGUUAUAAACAAUGAUUGUUGAAUCCAUAUGGAGCUCAACCACCUCUAUCCGUUAUCACGAGCCAACGACAAAUCUUGAACCACGCCUUAUAACUUUGCAAUGUAGGCACUAAGAAAAUGUGAGUUUCUAACCGCUAAACUAUUUAAAAAAUUAAAAAAACAUCACUUUGCAUGCAUUCAGGAAACUAUUUCAAAAAGGGAGUCCUCUCUACAAAUGGUAAUUAUGCUACUUUUUUUACGGUAAGUAAUAUGUUGGGAAUUAACGUGAACUCGCAUGUGCAACACAACUUUUUUGAAAGGAUGUGCAACACAACUAUAAGGACGAAAAGAAGACUAUUUUUAUAUGGUCUUCUCACAUAUCUUUUUUAAAAUAUCUUUUUCUCAUGUUAUAUAAUUCAAACUCUUUUAUAGAAAUUUUUGGAUUAUAUAAUCCGAAAACUUGUUUUAUCCAUCCAUAAUUUUAGAAUAGUGGUGUCAUAUAUUCUUAAUAUGACAUAAUUGAAAAUGACAAAAAAAAAAAUGUAAAGAGACAAAUAUGAUACAAAUGUUUAUUUGAUUAAUUGAUCAAUAUUUGCUAUUACAUUUACAUUACCAUAAUGCUUAUUACAAGAAAUUGUUAGACACUUAAAAUUAAUCUCUAAUGGAAGAAGAUGAAGGGGGAAGGAGACUAUGAUAAAGUUUUUUUCCUCUCACAUCCUAGAAAGGGAGACGAAGAGAGUUAAAGCUAAAUAUGAUGGAAGAAUGAGACUCUAAUGAACAAUCUUACACCUAAAGUCCUAGACAGAACAAACUUAUAUUGAGAAGAUGAUAAUUUACAAAGCGAGACCUUGCCCUUUGACUAUUCAUAUUAUCCCUAUAUAAAAAUAAAGAAACCUUGUAUUAAGCCAUAUUUAUGGUGAGAGGGGUAAAAAAAGUGUUGCUGACCAAGUUGAGUAUACCCCUCUCACCACAAAUAUUGCUUCAGUGAGAAAUAAAAUUUCUCCCCCAUUGUUUUCAAUGGUGCCAUAAUCAUGUUUUGCUUCCAGUCUUUCUCCCUCCGACCAAGUUGAGUAUGACUUAUAAACAGUGUACCCAACUAUCUCAUUUGGUCAUAACUCAAUAUGUAGUGAGGUGGUAUUUUUGGUAGAACACUAUGCUAAGAGGUUUCUUUUAUUUUUUUCUCAAUUUGCAAAAGGUGGAUAUAAUAUAAGGUCUUGCUGAUUGAUCUUAUCAAACACUCAUAAGGUAUACGAUGCAGUUCAAAAAAAUUACUCACACAUACACAAUGUGUACUUAUUUGACAAGUGCACUUCUUCAAUUAUGAAAUAUAGUGCAUAAAAACCAUAUACCAGUACUACAACAGUACACAUCUUCCUCAUCAUAAAGUUUAUUAUUACAAAAGUGACCCAAAAAUAAAAAAAAAACCAUUAGAUAAACCCCUAAUGCAAAUGCAAAGUCCUCAAGUUGUAUGAAAAGAUAGGAUAUUAAUAUGCAUCUAUAAGAACAUUUUUUAAUCAAAUAGGAACAAAGAACAAAAACUAACAAGGACCAUAAAACUGCAUAAAACUCAAUCACACAAAACCUUAACUAGAUCAAAAUGCUGAAAGUGAUGUCUGUCUCUCUUUCUAUCUAUCUUCCAUUUGAUUCAGCAUGCCUUGAUCUACACCCUACUUGUUCUAGAAACUUGGUAAGGCGUAAAUGCUUCGCAGCCCAUUGUUCAGUCAAUUUCUGCUCUUUGGUUUCAGCAUCUCUUCUCAGCCCUGCUAACUGUUCCCUAUAUUCUCCUUCAAUUCUAUCCAAAGCAACAGCUUGUUCCUCCCUUAAAGCUUUUAUCUUCGCUUCGAUUUCCUCCAUCUUCUCCCUCCUUCGACUCGCUUUCUCUGACUCCAACUGCAGCUCCACUCGGCUUAACCUCCAUGCCGCCUCUUUCUUGUGCGCUGCCAAUGCAUGAUGCACUUCUUCCAACUCCUUGCAGCAAUCAACCAAUUCAGACAUUACCAUGCUUUCGCCGUAACUUAGAACAGCGCCAUGUGGAGCUACGUUCCCAAGAACAAGAGGAGCGUUGUCCGGUCCUCGUACUGGUUGCAUCCACGGAGGAGGCGCUGCUACUGUCGAGGGAGAUAGGCUUAGUGUCACUGAUGGUGAAUUUGGCCUAACAGGUGCUGCAUUAUUUGAAUUCGAUAGCCAUGAAGGAAGCAAUCCCGGAGUUGGUGCUUGUGCAUCGGUAUGAAGAUAAGAGCUAUUGGAAGCAGCCAUGACAAAUGAAGGAGAUGGUCUCUCUUUCACUAGUUUCUCAGCAAAACUUUCGAGUAUGUGUUCGUACUUGCUAUCGUUAAUCGGGUCGACAGUUCUGUUAAUACUACCUUUUGUUUCUCUUUGUUGUUUCUCUUUGAAUACUUCCCACCACUUCCCUAACCUCUUAGCAGUUCGACCGGGAACUUGCGCGGCAAUUUUCUUCCAUUUGUUUCCGUGUGUUGCUUGAAGGCUAAUGACUAGACGCUGUUCUUCUUCGGUGAGAGAUCCUUUCUUAAUACCUGGCUUGAGGUAAUUCUUCCACCUUUCUAAACACGAUUUUGCGUCCCUGUUAAGAGGCGUGUUCAUGCGCUGAGACACGAGGUUCCAUUCUCUAGGUCCAUACUGUUUAACAUAAGCGCGUAAUAAUGCAUCCUCUUCUGCUCUCCACCGCUGCCUAUCUUUCAUAUCCGACAUCCGGUUUCUUGAAACUUGCAAUCUUCAUAAUGUCUCUGGAAAAUUCAUGACAAUUCAAGGGAUCAAUUCACUGUGAAACAAAGUAGUAUCAAUCAAAAGGUGGAAAUGUGAAGUUUCUAUAAUUUCUAAUCAUAGGUCCACAAUUAAACAAAAGAAGAUUAAUUAAUCCAAUCAGAAAUGUCAACAAACUUCAUCAAUUUAUUAAGCAAAAUAACACAACAGAUAUAAUUCUACAUGCUACAAAAUGCAUACAAAACAUUUAUGAAGAAUCUCAAGGAUCAAUCAAUACCCUUUGACUUCAAAGCAUUAAAAUUUCUCAGUUCAAGUACUAGUAAUGACAUCAAUUCUUUCUAUCAGUGAUUAAAUGCAAAAAUAUUUGACCACAGAUUAAUGUAUGAAGUCAAUAUGUCAAAUUGAAAUCACAUAAUCUAAAAUAAAUUCUGGUAAUUAUCAAUUCUGUUUCACAAUUUUGACUAGACAUAGAAAAUUUUAAUCAAAAUUUGUGGCCUCUACACUAAUAUAGGAAACACAGUAGUUACAAUUGCAAAUAGUAAUAAUUUCUUUAAAUAGAAAAUUUUGUAAGAGCUUUAAAAGCUGUUGUAACAUCCUAAUCAAGAACAAUGAAUGAAAACCCCACCAAAGGUAGAAAAGGCCAAAAACAAAAAAAUUGAGGAACAGUCUCACAGUGUUUUAAACAGCAUUUCAAGACAAAUUCUUAAAUUGAAAUUUUAGUUAGAUAUUUUUGUUGAAUAAUUGAAGUUUUAGAUUAGCAUCCACAUAAGUAAUAACUAAUAACCACUUAACCACUCAUAUCAGUCAAAAAACAGAACUAAACAGGGAUUCAGAGAGUGUGAAGCACAUCAAUUAAACACAGACACAAAGAUAUAAUGGUUGAAUUUUAAUACUUUGAUUAUGGUAAUUUUAAAAAAAAAUACAUGUGUUCAAAAUCAAUUAACAUAUCUAAAUUCAGGAAAACUCAAACAAUUUGAAGUAACAUAAAAAUAAAAACACAAAAACUGAAACAUGAAACACAAUAAGUAUACAAUAUAAAAGCAUAUAUAUACUACUAACACAUGAGCUUCAAGCUGAAAAGAGUUUAGCUUCCAAGAAAAUAAGUUCACAUGAACUUUAUAUAAAUGUAACAAAAUAACAAGACAAUGAUUUCAGAAACAAGACAUGUUGAACAAAAGAAGAACAUAAGAACAAGAAACUUUGCACCAAAAAAUAUACAAAAAAAUCAUGAUAUAUUUAGAAAAAAGAAAUAACAACCUUUGUUGUGUUGAAAGCAAAGUAAAAAAGAAAAGUGGUUAAAAAGAGAAGAAUGAGAGGAGAGAAUGGAGAGAAGUACCUCAGUCACAGUGUGAGUAUGUCUAAUAACAACCUAAGAAAUUCAGGUCCAUGAAACAGGAAGAAGAAGUUGAAAAAUGGGGUGUUCUUGAAAAAAGAGAGGAAGUGAAAACCGAGGUGCAGUGUAAUGCAGGAACUUUACCUUAUCAAUAUCAUGGUGUAGUAGUAGUAGAGAGAGAGAGAGAGGUUAAGGACCAGAGAGAGAGAGAAAAGUUUGAAAAGACAAGACAUGUAGAGAGAGACCCCACAAUAAGAGAAAAGAGAGAGAUAAUACAAAGAGAGGUACGUCAGAUUCAGCGCCUAUUAUGCGAGAAAGAGAGAAAGGUUAGGGCACGCGAGUGAUAAGGGACACACAUGAUCACUUACAGUCUAUAGAUACAUACAUGCUGUUACCCAUUCAUUAUAUAUUUCACUCUUUGUUUAUACACAAAUCACAUUUUUAAUUCAAAUUGUGAUUUCAACUAUUCUCAUUAGUUUAUCGAAUUAUCUAUCUUCGGUCGUUUAGCUAUAUAACUAAAUGUAAAAUCUAAUUAGUAAUGAGGGUAUUAGUAAUGAGGGUAGUUUGUGUCUCUAAAUUAAUUGUAAUAGGUUGAACUAUUUUGUUAGGUCUAAUAAGAGAUAUGUCAUUAACAUUGUUUAGCUAUUUAAAUGUUAUGUUACCGGUCAAUCGAGUAUACGAUGAGAAAUAAACCUAAACCUAAAAUUUAGACGGUCAUGAGUGUAGUUCAUGUCUCAUCAUGCUUUAUCAACGAUUGUGUCUCGAAUCCUAAAAGAUAUGUGGUUCGUGAUCAUUUAUAUAUUGAAUAUGUAAAAUAUGUUAUAAUUUGUAUUUAUGAGUAUUGGCUAAAUUGUUAAGAUCUCAUUAACAAAGAGAGAAGAAUUACAAUUCUUCAAGUCUCUUUUUUAGUGUAAUAUUUGUUUGCUUUUGAACACAAGAAGUUGCAAACAUAUUUCCCAAAUUGAUCAAAAUCUCUUCAUAUACUCUUCUUUUCCAAUUGAUCACCCUUUUGGAAAUAAUUUAGUUUUGCAUUGCAAAACUUGAUUUUGAGGUAACCGAUUAUGUGAAAUUGAUUUUGUCUAAAAGCUAGUCGAAGGUAAAAUGAUUUAUUUAUUAGUUUUUUUUUUUUUUAUAGUCAAAAGUUUAAUGUGUAUCAUUCGUUCAUGAUGAUAAUAUCUUGAAUAUAUGUUGGGUUAUCGAUCAAGAGAUAGAAACUAGCAAUUGAUAGAUGGGCAGGAUGGAUCCAUGUAUUAGAGUAUGUAGGCUUGUGCCUGUACUAAAUUUUGAGAAUUUUUUUAUUAGGUGGUAGAAAUAGAGUAAUAUAUAUAGUUAUAAUUGAAAUGUUGACUAAAUGGCCCACAUAAAUUAUAAGUCGUUUGGAGAAAAAAGUUGUCUUAAAUUAUAACUCGAUUUACAAUAACAAUGAAACAUUAAAUGCUUUUUUUCUUAGUGUACCUUCAAUUGUUUUCUCUUAUUUCAAUUCUUUCAUUUAUCUUUCGUAUAAUGAAGGAUAAUUUUAUAAAAUGACUUAUAAUUUCUCUCUCGUACAAUAUUAAUUAGAUUUCUUGAUUUGUAUGAAAUGAUCAAAAUACCAUAUAAUUUGAGACGAUUUAGUAAAAAAAAUUAUUACUAUUUAUAAAAAUAUACACUUGGUAACAUUCUCUAUAAUCUAAGAAUACUAUGUAAACUUUAGACAUUUUUUUUAAGGAAAACUUUAGACAUAUUUAAAAGUCUUGUAUGUAAAAUACUACAAUAUUGUAUUCCAAAAACUUAUGAGACGAGGGCUGAAUUUUUUAGAUGAAACUAAUUUAAUAAUAAUAAUUUUUUUGGUAAAAGAAUAUAGUAAAUCAUAAUAUUUUGAUAAAAUUGUUGCCGCGGUCGUUUAUAUUUUUUUCCCACAUUUGAUCCAUUAAAUUCUAAAAUGCUAACAUGUUAUCCUUUAGUCUUUAGAGUACACCACGUAGAGUUAGAGUACACCAUUUGCUUACGUCUCUCGUGAAAUUUGAGAGUAAGCGUUAGUGUGCUAUUUUAGGACCAACCGUAUGAAUAUGUCACUAAAAAAAGGAAAAGAAUUACAAAUAUAGUAUUUACAUCUUAUCUCAUUAUUAAUUAAAUAAUAUCGAAUGUAUUGAUAAUCAAAAGAUCUAUAUAUAUAUCUGUUACAUAACAAUUUCAUUAAGUAGUUCCUUCAAAAAAAAAUUCAUUAAGUAGUUGCUUAAUUCUCAUAUAUAUAUACAAAUUUUUAGAGCAUAAACACUCACGUCCCAAAUACAAGUGCACCCUCCAAAACAAGUACUUAACUACAUCUCACAACACUAGAGUAUAAGACAAAAGCAAAAGUCAAAUACAAAUUUAAAGAGUUUCGGACCGGUGCAUCUUGUAAUGAAGAACUAGUCUUGAUCUUCUUCUUCCUUUACAAUACUAAGCAAUGUGUGACUUCUUCAAUAUGUAUAUUUUCAACCAACACCAACAAUCUCUACCUUGAUUGAAAAUGAUACACGUGUUUCCAUCGUCGUCGAUAAUCAUAGUUCAAAGAACUAUCAUACUCCACGUAGAGAUUAUAGUUACUUGAAGCUAAAUCACUCCAAAAAAAUUACAUUGACUUCAUUGCGAGAGUACACUUCGCUUGUAGUUAAACCACUUCAAGAAUUUUCACAUAUCGAAAAUGAGGUUGAAAACUUAAGGAGCAACUUCCAUGUUGACAGGAAGCUCUUCAACCAUCAACAUAAUAUCAUAACACACUUUGCAUCAAUGUCAAUCAACACUUAUAUACUAAUCAUCACCUUGCGUAUUUCCGAUUAUAUCAAAACAUGAGGAAUGCUAGAAACACUCAUUUUUCAACACUCUCUCUAGCACUCACUCUUUUAUUGGAUGAAAUCAAUGUAUGGCCCACCACUUUGUGUGGGUUCAAUUUUCAAAGUGUAGACCCGCAAUGAUUUAAACCAAUAAACGAGUGAGUAUUAGAGAGGGUGUUCAAAAGAGAGUGUUGUUAGCAUUACUCAUCAAAACGUCAUUGAUUUGAAAAUUCCACGAGGCAAAAAUGGAUCUUCAUCAAUUUCCUAUAGAUUAAACUUCACAGCAGAAAUUGUUAUUGAAUCACUUUCACAAUACAACCUUUCUUUUACGAUGUGGAUAAUAAGACAAUGCUACCACCUUAGAACAUACUAAAAUUUUAUAUUCUUAGACCCACAAUUAUAUCCUAGUUGUGAGCUUCUCGGCUCUCGUACCUGUCGUCCAAUCCAUUAGCGUCCAGCCAUUACGAAGAGAGCCUUGGGGCAUCCACUUAAACCCUAGGCAUGGAGCCUUAAAACUUUAUCAACUUAAGCGAUUUUAACCUUAGACUGAAGCGCAUUCACUCAUAGGACGACCAUCAUGUACUUUUACUCAAGUGACCAAAGAAGCUCUCCAAAAGUUUUGAUGUCAGUAUUUGGAAAAAACCGACAUAGAGAAAAUAAAAGAACAUAAUAGAAACACAAAAGUAUAAUGUGAAAACUCCUAAAACAGAUGAAAAACCACGACUAUUGUCCAAUGACAACUAGAGAAUAACACUAUAUGCAAAUUUUUACAAUGUAUAUACUAUUUUCAAACACUCAGACUCACGACUCUAGUACACCCCCACCAUCCAAAUCAAAUAUUUAACUAUAUCUGAUAAUCAUAAAUUUAUAAAAAAAAAAAAUGUAGAUAUUAACACGGAAACUAAAAUAAUAAAGAGAGAAAGUAAAAACAUAAAGUAUAAAAGAGAAAGUAAUCAUAAAAACUGUAAUAAAAUAAUUGUAUAAAUAUUAUUUCUCUUCUCGUAUCCUAUUAUUUGGAAGUAUCCCAAGCUUUGGGGGGAGGGCAACAUGAUGAAAGCUUUGUGUGUUGCAUGUGACUAUAUAUAUGACUUUUGAAUAUAUAAUGUGAGGUUCCUUAAAAAAAUAAAUAUAUAAUGUGAGGUCUUGUGAGUACAUUCAUCUUGAUAGAGAUUCAACUCCACACUAUGGUGUAAGCUGUUGCCCAAAUUUGUAAAGUGUAACAUGUGCUUUGCUACUUUUUGUUGGGGAGUCUACUUAAAAUUAAGACCAUCCCUAAUGGUUUUUACCAUUCAACACCAUUCAACACCACUUUUUCAAUUUCCAACACUCCACAUCAUUUUCUCUCUCUUAUUCAACACUCAUUCAACUUUUACCCUCUCCAAUGGUUUUCAUUCAACACUCUACCCCACCACUUUUUAUUUCUUAUUCUUAUUUAAUUUUUGUUUUUAUAAUUACAUAAAAUUAUCGAUUAUAAUUAAAUUAAAAUAAUACAAUUAACUAUUUAUUUUUUAGUAUUUUUGAAAAAAAAAAUUUGUAAAAUAAUUUAUUUUUAUUUUCUUAAUUUAAAAUGCAAGUACAACAAACUAAGCACGCGGCACACAAAUAACUUAAAAUGCAAUACAACAAACUAAGCAUACAACACACAAGUAAUUUAUUUAGUACGAUACAAAUCAUCUUCAAUCACGAUACAUUCCAAACUUUGUCCAUAUGUGUUUCACUAGAUCUGCUUGCAAUUCGUGAUGAACAUCUGGAUCACGCAACUCGGAUCUAGCACGCACAUGAUUUGCAAAAGUUGGUAACACCUCGGUCGAGUAUGGUUGCGGUGUACUAGAUCCACUUCCCUCAGGUUGCUCAAAAUCGGUCCAACGUUGAGCAUAUGUAUCUCGUUCAUCCUCAACAAUCAUAUUAUGUAAUAUGAUGCAUGACCUCAUGAUGAUACCCAAAUCGGCUAUGUCCCACAAGCGAGCUGGUUCACGGAUGAUUUUAAAUCGAGCUUGAAGCACUCCAAAAGCACGUUCGAUGUCCUUCCGACAUCCCUCCUGAUGUUUUGCAAAUAACUUAUCGGGUUCACUUUGAGGAAGUCUAAUUGAUUUGACGAAAGUUGGAUAAGAAGGGUAGAUACCAUCAGCUAGAUAGUAUGUCAUAUUAUAGGGACGUUGAUUCACAAAGUAAUUCACCCUUGGAGCCUUUCCCUGUUCCACAUCAUCAAACACUGGUGACCGGUCUAGAACGUUUAUAUCGUUCAACGUUCCCGGACAUCCAAAAAAGGCAUGCCAGAUCCAUAGAUCAUGAGAUGCAACUGCUUCAAGAAUAACUGUGGUGGUUCCCUUAUCCCCCCUGGUGAAUUGACCUUCCCAUGCUUUAGGACAAUUUUUCCACUCCCAGUGCAUGCAGUCAAUACUCCCGAUCAUCCCUGGGAACCCCCGCAUUUCACUAACAUGUAGUAUUCUUUGAAGGUCAUCUUGGGUUGGUGCUCUCAGAUACACUUGCUCAUACAGUCGUAUGAUUCCUUUACAGAAUCUACGUAAGCACUCCAAUGCUGUAGUACCUCCUAUUUUUAUGUAUUCAUCUACCGCAUCUGCUGCCACACCAUAUGCUAACAUUCGCAUUGCUGUGGUACAUUUUGCUAACGGUGAUAUACCUUCUUUGUUGGCGGCAUCAACUCGCUGGGUGAAGUAGUUAUCACUACUUGAAAGGUCUCCAACGAUUCGAAGGAAGACAUGUUUUUGCAUCCGGUACCGACGACGAAACAUUGCAUCGUCAUAUGUAGGCUCAUUGGCAAAGUAGUCGUCAAUGAGUCUUUGGUUUGCCCCUGCAUGAUCUCUCUUUAAAUAUUUUCUACUACGAGAUCCACUACCUUCCUCUAUUUGUUUUCGACGCUGAAUAAAUCGGUUGACCAUAUACGUGUCUUCAGCAUCACGUUUUUGGAAGUAGGCUUCCAAAUCAAAAGGAUCCAUUGAUAGGUUUUUUGGAAGAAGAUAUGAAUGAGAUUUGUGAAAUUGAAAGUAGAUUUUAAUGAGACUUGUGAAAUUGAAAGUAGAUAUGAGUCCCUAUAUAUAAGUACAUUGUGUGGUGGACAUUGACGGAUUUGAAAUAAGUUAUAGUAGGUGAAAUAAUGGGCACACAGUGGACAUAAUUAUUAAAGCAAAUAAGUCACGGGGACUAGACAACACUGACAAUUAUUAAAGUAAACAUUGGGGACUAGACAACACUCUGAUAAUUAUUAAAGCAAACACUACGGACUAGACAACACUGACAAAUAAUGGGCACACAGUGGACAUAAUUAUUAAAGCAAAUAAGUCACGGGGACUAGACAACACUGACAAUUAUUAAAGUAAACAUUGGGGACUAGACAACACUCUGAUAAUUAUUAAAGCAAACACUACGGACUAGACAACACUGACAAAUAUUAAAGCAAACAGUCGGGACUAGACAACACUGAUAAUGUUGACUGAAUACAAACAAAUAUUUGAUUAAAAUUAAUUUUCAAACAGCUCACGCUCCAAAUUCUCCAACAGCUCCUUCUUCCGGUCAUCGAGAUGCUCUUCGUCCCUUAACUUUAGAUACAUUUUCAUUUUUUUAGCUUGAGUCUUUUCUUGCAGCAACUUGUUUUUCUGUUUUUUCACCAAAUUUAACUCUUUCAAUUGUUCAAUCUCUUGCUCUUUUAAUUCUUUGAAUUGAACCCAUUCCUUUUCCACCUUCUCCAAUGUCUCGCCCUUGCUUUUCAUUUUACCUUUUUUUUUAGCUGCCUCCCUACCCAUUGGACGAGCACUAGAUCCUACAGAGUCCUCGUGAGAUCUCUUAGAUCCACUACUCCCUGACCCUACAUUUCCUCCCAUCUGACUACCAUAACGUGGUUGAUCACGGAGAGCGUGCCAUUCUUCUUUCAAAGUAAAUUGAAUAUUCUUCCCACCUGCAAACAAUUCCUGCGCUUUUGUCAAAAUAUCAUCUUCCGACCAACCGCUUCCUUGCAUACGCUUAGCGCUUUCAUAAGCACCAAUCCAUUUAUUUAUUAUUUUGCUCAUAUAAUUAAAACGGUUUCGGCAGGCAACUAGAUCGCGGGGAGAAUCGAAUGAGCAAUACUCAUUACAAUACUCAGCAAUUUUACCCCAAUAUGUUUCUCCUCUCUGGUUUCUCCCGACAACACUGCUUGUUCCAUAUUUAAUCCAUGCACUUAUUAGAACCAAAUUUUGUUGAGUGUUCCAUGCUGGUUCCUUACUUCUCUUGCUCUUAGGAGUUGAAUCUUCUGGAGUGACUUCAUCAGCAACUGCCAUGCCACCAGGAGUUAUUUGUGUUGAAAAUUCAGGAUAUUGGGUUGCAUCAACACUAGGAAAAUUUUCAUUCCCCAUUGGCAUAUAACCAUUAAACGGGGGUGUUUGAGAUGGAUAUCUCAUCAUAGAUCCAUAAUAUGGAUGAAAGUUUGGAACAGAGGAUGACUGGUUGAAAUUUGGUGAAAAACCAAAAUUAGGUACGUUUUGAUGUAUGUUUUGAGGACGUUGGUUAUAAAAUUGAUUUGGAUUUGGAUAAUUGUUGGGAUUUUCGUAGUUAUAUGGGUAAUUAGAAAAAUUUUGGGUGUUGAAAUGGUUAUUAUUGGGAUCCAUUUCACAAAAAAUAAGAUUAAAACUUCACUUAGUUUGCUAAUAGAAAGAUAAUAAUAAGAUGAAGAUAGUGAAAAACUUGGUUUUUUUUUUUUUCUGUGUCCAAAUCAAAUGAUCCAAGUCUUUAUUUAUAGAUGAAAAAAAAUCAUGAAUUUUGGUAUUUUUUAUUUUUUUAAAAUUAAUUUACAACAAAAUAAUUGAGGUACAAUUAUUAAAAUGAUAAGAAUCUGGACAACCAAUUAAAACGCGCCACGUGUCCUUAUCUAUCCAAAAACCGUUUCUCUCUCCGAACCUCUGACCGCUCACGCGCCCUAUCGGCACGUGUGUUGCACGCGCCCGUUUUUGACCAAUUUUGAAGCACCACGUGGCAGGAUUAAAUGGAGUCGAAUGGAUUCAUCUUCUCUCUCUUCUAUUCCCCCAUUCAACACUUGUUAAACACAUCAUUGGAGACAAAAAUGCUGUUGAAUGGAAUAUUAAAUAGACCAUUGGAGAUGGUCUAAGAGGAAUGUUAUUUGAAGAGCUCUUUUUUGGGACAAUUUUUUGGACAACUAAAAUUUACAAAUAAAUUUAGAUAGUGACAUUAAAACCAAAACAAUAUAAAGAGAAAGUAAAAAGAGAAUGCGAGUUUGAGAGAGAAAGUUAUCACAAAAGUUGUCAAAAAUCAGUUGUUCAAAUAUCAUUUCUCUAAAAUUAAAUUGUGUUCCAUUUGAGUUAUAGGAUGGGAUGGCUCGUAGCCCAGCAUCCAAAAAUUUAUUAUAAUUUUUUUUUUUUUUUGAUAUUUUAUAGAAAUCUAAAGUUUUAAUGAACAAUCAAUCAUUUAUAGAUACUUGCGUUGAUAUUUUCAACAACAAUAAUAAUACAUUUACACCGGGGCAUAAUUCAUAGCCUUCUUUAAAAAAAUUUGUAUAAUUCAUAGCCUCUACUUUAUAUAUCAAACAAAUUUUUAAUAAAAGAUUUAAAUUUAAAUUUUAUUUAUUUAUCUAAAAAAUGAUUUAAUCAUAACAAUUCUAAUAUUACACUUCUAAAUCCAUUUGGUUCAAUCCUUAAAGACAAUUGUACCCAACAAAAUCCUUAAGAAAAUUAGUUUUCAUUUAGUUGAAAUUUUGUGAAGUUUCCCAAUAUACGAGUAUGAUUAUCUAAUCUAAGUUUAUAAAAUGUUAUUGUGUUUUCAUUUUUAACCUCGUGUUCUUUUUUGUGUGUUAAUUAUCCAGUUUUUAAGAGAAAAUGUCUAAUGAAAUCAAUGUAUGUUUAGUUCCAUUUCUAGAAUACCAAAAUUGAUUCUAGAGGUGUAAAAUUAAUUAUGACAUGUUUGAUUAUUGUCGAGUAGAAUUGAUUAUGUCCUCAAAAUUGAUUUUACUUUAAGCUAUGAUUUGUAACUUUUGAUUCUAAAAUUGAUUUUCACAUGCAUAUUUAUAGUUUAAUUCACUUUUACAUUCAUGUAUCCAAACACAAAUCUUUUUUUAGUCUUAUCAUAUCAGAAGAGUUUUUAAAAUUCUACUAACAUUCAAGAUAUCUUUUUCAAAAUGUCGUUUAAUGUCGUGAAGAAGGUGGUUAGAAUUCAAAGGGAAUUCCUUUGGGGUGGUUUAGAGGGAGGGAGGAAGAUUAGUUGGGUUAGUUGGAAGGUGGUGUGUCCACCGAAAGAGGUGGGUGGCCUUGGUGUUAGGGAUGUUUCUUUGGUGAAUUUGAGUCUUCUUGCAAAGUGGAAAUGGCGGUUAUUGCAAGGGGGUAAUACGCUUUGGAAGGAGAUUCUUGUGGAAAGAUAUGGUUCUAAGGUUGGCGAGUUUUUGGAGGAAGGGGUGGGUGUGUGGCAGACCAAUGCUUCUAGGUGGUGGAAGGAUUUGGUGUCCUUAGCUAAAGGUAAUGAGGUAGAUUGGUUUUAUGAGGACGUGAUUAGGAAGGUGGGUAAUGGUGCUACAACGGGUUUUUGGAAAACGGCGUGGAGAGGAGGUGAACCUUUUAUGAUGAAAUUACAUAGAUUAUUUUCAAUUGCAACAUUCCAAGAAGCAACGAUUCAAGAGAUGUGGAUUUCCAAUGUGGGCAGAGGGAGAUGGAGGUUUAGUUGGAGGUGUCAACUUUUCGUUUGGGAAGUUAAUCUUCUUGAUGAGUUGUUGGGGGUGUUGGAGGGUUUUGAGUUGGGAGAGGUGGAGGAUAAAUGGCGGUGGAAGUUGGAGAAAGAUGACAUCUUCACGGUGAAAUCUAUUAAUAUCAAGUUGGAGGGGAGAGGGUUGGCGGAGGUGGUGUGUCCGGAGGGUGAGAGGAGAGUGUUUAGACAAAUUUGGAAGACCGGGGCAUCGUCUAAGGUGAGGGAUUUUGUUUGGAAGGCUCUUCUUGAUUGGAUUCCGACGCGUGUUAAUUUUGGAAUCCGGAAUUGUUUACCUCCCGGUGUUGGAAGUAAUUGUGUUCAUUGUAUGGAUUUUUCCGAGUCUACCUCACAUCUUUUCCUUCAUUGUGAUUUGGCCCGGAAUGUUUGGUUGAGUUUGAUGUCUUGUUUGGAUUUGAAUUUUAUAAUGCCUCCGAACCUUUUUAUCCAUUGGAAGUGUUGGAGUGGGGGUCCUUUUAUUAAGAAAGUUCGGAACGGGUUACGAAUGAUUUGGGAGGCCGGGAUUUGGGUGAUUUGGAAGGCUAGAAAUGACCGAAUUUUUAAUAAUGUUAUUGCUAGAUGGGAUGUGCUAGUGGAGGAGGUAAAAGUGUUGUCGUGGAGAUGGUUGCUUGGAAGAUCAAAUUCUACGGUAUGCUUGUUUUAUGAGUGGAGUUGGGGUCCUCGAGAAUGCCUUUUGAGGUAAGGUUGUGGCUGUCCUAUGGUUGUUGUUUGUGGUUGACUGUUGGGGACCAGUGGUUUCGGUUUUGGCUUGCUGUCAUGACAGAACAACAGCUGUUGGUGCUGUUUCUGUCGGCUGUGCAGCGGUUUUUUGGUUCGGUUUGGGCUAUGAUAGGUGUUGCAGGUUUGGGGCAUCUGCUUGGGGUUGUUCAGAGGGUAAUGACUUAGCUAUGGGCUUGAAUUUUGGUGCUGUUAUUAGAUUUCAAAGUCAUAGCAGUUGCCAUGCCUAUGGUGUUGUGGCUGCUAUGUGCAGCUGCAACGGUUUCUGCUGGAUCUGGGCAGCUGCUGCUGUUGGUUUCCUCCAUUGGAGGCAGCGGUUGUGUUUUUGUUAUGGGGUGGUUUUUUAAGGGGUUUUUGUUCGAGACGGUGUUUUGUGGUAAUCGAUUUCCCCUUGUAAUUUGUUUUUUUUUCCACCCGAGCUUUUUAGUGCACCUUGCACGGACUUGUUGGUUAAUAAUAUUUUACAGUUUCAAAAAAAAAAAUCAAGAUAUCUUUGAUUAUAAUAUAUAAACCAUUAUUUACUCUUGAAUAGAAGACAAGCGGGCAACAAGUUGCACCGCCAAGCCUUUUUGGAUGACAAAAUCAAUUAUCGUAAACACAACAUUCAUUGACCUAGGAGACAUGACGUUGCUAUCAUAACCUUUUGAACUCUAUGUAGAAGGUCAACAACCUCUGAUGCUAGGAAACCGAAAGUGACAAAAGCAAAUGGUAUAAAAACAUGUUGAUUGUUGGAACACACUUUCUCAUGUUUGGUCACUUUGCUUGACGCCGCUUUUAGGGCUGCGCGUCCUACCAUAAAAGGCCCGACACCUAAUCGCACAAGUGGCGAAACCCCAAUCAAAUCUACACAUGCAUGUUUUUUAGUCAGAAUUACUUUUAACCAAAAUCAAUUCUUCCCACCGCACAAUCAAAUACACGCUCAGUCGGAAUAUUUGACCAAAAGAAUUUCACCUAAAAAUCAAACUCGAAUUCCCUAUAACAAUUCAUCAUUUUAUUAAAAAAAAAAUGUUAAUGUUAGUUGGCUUAAUCCAACUAUAGUGACAUUUAGAUCCGUCCACAAUGUGGGCACUCCUACCCUAGUUCCUUGUUUGGUAAACAGGACCUUAAUAUAAUCUGUACACUUAAUAAUUGGAAUCAAGAAAAAUUUAGGUCAAUUUACUUUGUUAACGUUUGUCUUCAAGGUGAAACCAAUAGUACCAAGGGCAUAGUUAGAUUAGUGACCACCGGACCAAUAAUAAAAGAAGAGUAUGUGUUGGUCACUGGACCAAUAAUAAAAAAAAGAAAUUAAAAAGCUAAUAUUCAACUCACAUGCCUUAAUGGAACUUUAGUUUAAUUGAAUCCCAUUUUUAUUGAUCCAAAAUUCUCAAUUUCACUUUUGCUUACCCAAUUUUCUACUCAAACAAAUCACAACAUAAAUGGUUGGUUUGCAUAGAGUAAUUCCAUUUAGCAACCUCAUAAAUCCACUUACAUGAAAUUGGAACUUGAGCUCAUAUAUCUAACCUAAAAUCUUAUACAAAUUUCUUAAACGAGACUUUUUAAUUAUAUAUCAAUAAAUCUACAUCAUUAUAUUUAAACCAUUUUUUUACCCCAUAAUAAAAGUAUUUAUUAGGUAUCAAGUCUACAAAAGAAAGACCAUCCCGUUGUUAAUGGUCUUAUAUAUUUCAAAUUAAAGUCACAUGACCAAACUAUAUCACAUAAAACUUAGAAUUCUGCUCUUCACGCAACUAUUCUUGCUCGUUCUCAACUGAAUUUACCAUAAUGCCUCUGCGUGAGUUAACUCACGCAGAGAUGAACACUAACGUGAGUUAACUCACACAGCGUAGGAUAAAUCACGCAGAAUUACACUAACAUGAAUUAACUCAUGCAGGGGUAUUUUCAGAUGUUUGGUUGGGAAUGAGCAAAAUGAGUUAGGAGAAGAGCAAAAUUCUAAAACUUACCACAUAACUUAAGGCCCAUUUUUUAAGACAAAACUCAAGAACAAAACUAAUGUCCUUAAGUUCAUAUAAAAGGCAUCCAGGACAAAUUAGAUAGCAACUAUAAUAAACUCUUUAACUUCUAUUUGUAUCAGCUAGCAAUCCUGGAUCUGCAUCCUACCUGCUCUUGCAACUUAUGAAAUAAGUGCUUUUCAAGCUUCCACCCCCCCUUAGAUUUCAACAUAUCUUUUCAAUAUGCUCCUUAUUCUUCUUCAGUUUAUGCAAAGUAACUUUAUAUUCUUCUUGAAAACUUUGACAUUGAGUCUUUAACAUUUUGCUUCAAUUAUCUCCCUCCUUAAACAAUCCUUCUAAGACUUCAUCUCCAAGCUUCAUCUUCUAUAAAAAAUCUUCUACAUUUUUUUUACCAAAAAGUCAAAACAAAACAAGAGAGACAUCCAUUGUCAUGUCCUAUUAUAAUUGGUUACAACCAAGGAGGAAUAUUGCAUUGCACCAUUGUUGAGAGAAAGAAAGAGACUAUUGGAGAUGAACUUGAAAGGGUCCAAUGGAAGGAGCCAUGACACAUGACAUUGGUGAAAAGGUUGUAUUCAAUCUUUCAUUGCAAAAGACAUCACACUGUACUUGUUUGUAUUUGUACAAUGACAUAACUAUAACUCACCAAAAAUGUCAUAAAAUUAUUUGGUUGUCAGUGUUCAAAUAUUUAAGUAAUUACUGUAUAAUGUGUUUAUAUGUUCAGAUUGGAUCAGAACAUAAUUAUUAUGUCAAAAUAACAUGUCAUAUUUCAAUUUACAUCAUAGUAAUAAAUUGUUGCAAUUUAUAUAUUUCCUUACAUAAUUUCAUUUAGGGUUAACCUGUGCCUCCGGGGCACUGGUUAAGGAAGCCAAAAGAAGAAAUUGUAAGUUAAAAUAGACACUUUUUAGAUUUUUAAUGUAUUGAUUACACAUCUUUCAAUACAAAAAUUACUAUAUUUACUUCCUUAACCAGUGCCCGGGAUCAUUUAUUAGUUUUGUUUAUGUAAUAAAAUUUUAAAGACAAUAUUUCUAAGCCUUGUUUUUUUUUUUUUGCUGAAGCAGAACCACCAGUAACUAGUUCUGAGUAACUAUGCCCAAAUGUUCAUGCAAAAUUACAUUAAAUUUGAGUAACUAGUCUUCUCUAAAUUUGAGAUAUCCAUAUAUCAAACAUGUGUCGGUGUGCGACACCAACACAUAAUUACAUUAAAUUAUGUAACUUUUUAAAAUUAAAAAUAUUUUAACAUCAAACAUGUGUCCAUGUCCGACACCAACACAACAUUAACACAUAAUUACAUUGAAUUAUGUAAUUUGUCUAAAUUAUUAUCGAUAUCCACGUGUCAUUGUCGGAUCUGUGUGUCCAAUAUGCGGGCCUCAAGUGCUAUGUAAGUUUAACACUAGAGUGAAAUCCACAGUGUGCAGAGCAAAAAACACAGUAUUUGUCUAAAACAAUGACAUUUGUACACAUGCAUAUGAAUAUAAUGGAUUGGUUGAGAGAAUCUACUCUCAUUAUUUACCACUCUACCAAUAUAUGAUGAUUUUACUUGAACGCCUCUGAUUUUUUAAUAUGCAUUUAACACUUCAUUUUUUUUUUCUACCUCCUUUUCUUAUUACAUCACUAAUAAUCUAUGAAGUCCGAAGAUCCAAAUACGAAGACCUACCGGUAUCUGAUACGUAUCAGAUAUCGAUACUUCACGGAUACGUAUUCACAAUACAUCAUAAUUAUUUAUUUUAAUUGUUUAAAAAUAUUUUAUCAUAUACUUAUAUGAUACUCCACAGAUACACAAAUAUUCUUAUACUUAUAAGAUACUUCACAGGUACGUAUCAUAGAAAAGAUGAAUGGUAAAAAAAUGAGACAAUGUUCUAAAAAUUCAGUGGAGAUGUAUAUGUUUUAAUUUUAGAUUGUAUCGGUAGAAUUGUUUCUCGAUAAACCACUUAAAAUUAUGCUUCUUAUUAAUGAAGGUAAUGAGGAAAUGAAGAUAUUCAAUUAAUCAAUAGUAGACAAAAUUUGUGUUGAGCUAUUUUAAUGAUACUUCUGCUGAUAUUCUAAUGUAUGAAUGAAAAUAUAAUAUGAUUUAUACGAAAAUAUUACAUUUUUUAUUUUAUUUUGAUCACAUGUAUUAUUUAAAAAAAUUGUAACUUGUAUAAUAACAUAACAAUGAAGGGUAACCAAUGCUUAUUUUCUUUAUAUAUUUUAGAUGUAUAUAUAAGUUUUAGUAUAAACAUUUUGUUAACAAAAUGCUUAUUUUGAUCAAUGAAAGAACACUCGUUAAUAAGACUUUUAAUAUAAACAUUUUGUUAACAUAUUCUAUCUAUAUCGUAUCAUAAAUUUUAAACAAUUUCCAUAUCACAUAUCUAUAUCGUAUUAUACCCAACCUCGAAUCCAUACUUCAUAGCUAAUAACAUAUCACAUUAUUCUCUUAUGGAUAUUAAAUGUGAAUAUACCAUUUUCCAAUCCUAAAAUAUAAAAUCAAAAUGGGUUCAUCACAAAGCAAGGAAAAGUGGGAAGAUACCCAUACCAUACGACUUAAAAUCCAAAGGAUGAUGCAUACAAAGUGUCUAACUACUUUAGGAGCACUACUACUACUAGAGCUAGCUUGGUGUGUAUCUAUCUGACACAAGAGAGAGAAAAAACCCUAGAGUGUGAGCUCCAGCUAUAAGAAGGAGAGUGAGGACAAAAGCACUGAAAUGAAGCAGAGGGAGGUUGGAAGAGAAAGUUAGAAUUGGACAACACAUAAGAGAGAGACCCUACAUAGAGAGAGAGAGAAAAAAAUGCUAAAGCUGCAGCAAAACAGACUCAUACGUUGGUUUCAGCGCUCAAAAUGCUACCCUCUUUCUUUCUUUACAUUCUUCCCCACCUUUAUUACCUAUCAAUUCUCAAAUCUAGUAUCACCAUACAAAAGACAAAUACUUUCUUCCAAUAUCUUAUUAUUUUGGAUUAAAUAUGUUUUUAUUCUUAUAUCUUAACUUUUCGUUUUAGUCACUCUAAAAUUUUCCUUCAACAUUUAGUCCCUAUAAAAUAUUUAAUCACUACUUUUGAUCCCUAUUUUUAAUUUAAUUUUUGUAUUUUUUAAUGAAAUUAUGCAGAACUGUGUAAAAUAUUCUAAAAAAAUUUAAUUUAAAAAAUUAGAAUUUUUUAACAAAACACAAAUUAAAUAUGAAUUUUUAACGGUAAAAAAUAUAAAAAUUCAUAUUAAAUUCAUGUUUUGUUAAAAAAUUCUGAAUUUUUUUUGGAGUGAUUCUUAUAAUAUUUUGAAUUUUUCUAGAAAAUUUAAUUAAAUAAUAUGAAUUCUACAUAUGAGUUUACUUUAAAAGAGGGACCAAAAGUGAAGAUUAAAAAUUUUAUAGGGACUAAAAAUCGAAGGAAAAUUUUAGAGGGACUAAAACGAAAAGUUGAUAUAUUUAUAGGGACCAAAAACAUAUUUAACCCUAUUAUUUUAGAAGGGAAUAAAUUCGAGAUAUUUUUUUAAAGAUAUUAAAUAAUAAAUAACUUUUUUUUUAUAAAAUUUGUGUAUUUAAUGCAUUUAAGAUUUAAGUAUUUGAUUUUUUAAAAUAUAACUUUUUACUUUUAAAACUUUAAAGAAUGUUUUAGGAACAUUUGUUAACAAAAUUCUUGUUAGAAUAUCAGGUCAAUAUCCAUAUUAUCGCAAGAGUUUAUUAUAAAUAUCGUUUUAAUAAUUUAUUUGGAUUGAUCCACCAAUGUAUACUUAGGAUCUUCAACUAUGUUCCAUUCAAGUAUUUAAUUUUAAUUCUUCUAAUGUCAAUUUUGUUCGUGGUAUGCUUGCUCAGGAUGCACAAUUGUGUGUCUCUGGGAAAGUGGAGACUGCUCAACAUUUAUUUGUUUAAUAUCCCAUAUUUAGAGAUUUAUAUAUGACAUCAUGUUCGUGAUUGGAUUGGGGUUUGUGGGGUUGAUUAGUUUACACUGCAAAUCACUUUGUUCAGUUUACUUAUUUGUUAGGAGGGGCAGCAACAAGGCGCUCCUUUAUGCAACUUUUGUGGCUGUUGUGGUUUGAACGUAAUAAUAGACGGUUUAAUAACACCCAAAAUUCUAUACAUCAGUUGGUUGAAAAGGUUCAAAUGCAUUCUUAUCGGUGUUGAAUAUCGUUGUCCAUUGUCCGACUCAGCCGGAUCUCUUCGGUUCGUCUGGAUGAAACUCACGAACGACGACGACGUGAGAACCAUGUUCUCUGUCUUUGGUCAGCACAAUACUAGAGGACCGAUCAAGUUGGACGCUUCGUUGGUUAGAUCUGCUGAACAAAUUAAAAAAAGUUUGAUCCGGCCCAGGAACUACGAAGAGAUCAGGGCUCUGCUGGAGGGACCAGAGGAAGAAGUUAGUUUAGAUGAUCCGUGAUAAUGUGCUAUGUUUUAAUUAAUUGCAUGUUUUAUGUUGUUUUAAUUACGCGUUAGUUAUAUGUUGUUGAACUAAGUUGUAUUAUGUUUUGAACAAUAUAUAUAUUAUUUAAACUUUCAUUAUGUUUUAAUUUAAGUCAAAAGUUUUUUUAAAUAUAUUAUUAUAUUCCAUACUUUAAGUGAAAAAUAUUAAGUGGAAAAUCAUAAUUAUGAAUUGUAAAGUUUUUAUUAUUAGAAUUCUCAUACAAGUUAUUUUUAUUUGACCGGUUCUAUGCUAACAAACCAUUCCUUUCACUACCAAAAAAAACCAUUCCUUUAAUCUCUCUGAGUCAUCAAAGUAUAUGUGCAGUUUUUCAUAUAGCUAUCCUUCAAAACAAUAAGUUGGCAUAGUUUUUGCAUUACUUGACUGCUUCUCAAACGUGUUGUUUAACAAAUAUCCCUAUAUUUAUGUUAUCAAUGAGUGGGUUUCAAAGAAGCUGAAUUUUUUACGUGUAUACUCCCACGUUUCAAUUAUUUGUUGCGUACACUUCCUGGUACAUUAUAUUCUUUGAGGAUUGGUUAAAUAUGGAGUUAGCAUUCUAUAUGCGAAAAUCGUUGGCUAUCAAGACAUCUUAUAUUAUCUCAUUGUUUUUGUUUUGCGGGUUUUCGUAGCAUUUUCAUCGACAUGCAGUACCACUGAGGAAACCUGGGUGUGAUCCAACCCAAGGAAAAAGACCCGAGUUCGAUUUUGAUGAUGAUGCAUUCCCUAAACAGGUACUAUUAUGGUCGGUUUGGAUAAACUAUUUAAUUAUAUGCUUAUAGCAUAAAUGCUUAUCAUACAAGUGUUUAGUAUAAGCUAUUUCAAUAAUAAAAGGGGUAGGCUGUUUUCAUAAAGAGCUUAUGAAAAUAAGUUGAAAACAACUCGUAAGCUUUGCCAAAGAGUCUUACUUAUUCUUAUGCUUGCCCUUAAUUAGUGAUUAAGAGUAUACACAUAAUCCUAAUUUGGUGGAGUUGUCCUAAUUAAUCUUUGAAUCGUAUACACAACUAGCAUUUCAUUAUAGAGAAAAAUAUAAGUUUGGUAAAGAACAUUGUAUCUAUGAAGCCCCGAUACCUGACACGAUAUGGAUACGAUACCGAUACGGUGAUACGUGAAAUUUUUCAAAAUUUCUGAUACGAUACGGUCUCGAUACGUUAUUAAAAAAUUAAAUUUAAAAUUAAUAGUAUAAGUGCACACUGUAUAAACAUAACUAAAAAUGAUAAUAAACAAACAUUCACAUUAAUGAAAAUGAUCAAAACAAGUGACAAUUACAUAUUUUUUCAGCACAAAUUAGAUAGAAUAUAACUAAACAUCGUUAGUAUUGUCCAAAGAGAACAUCACAAGUACUAUAAAAAAAGAACACUUUUGUCUAAUGUUGACUACCUAAUAGUUAACACUAAUUUAUAUCGAAAAGAAACAGUUUUUUUCCCAAUUAGAUAGAAGAACAGAAGAACAUAUCAUUAGAGUAGAAUUCAAUCGGCGGUAAUGGUUAGAAGAGGGAAUAGCUAUCGCUAUUUGGUGACGAGAAACCCUAUUUUUUUGGGAUAGAAGAGACAAAAUGUUUUUUAUAGUGCUGGCAGACUGGUAGUUUUAUUUCUAUUUUUUUUUAAAGGAAAUAUGUAAGACAGAAGUAUCGGUGUCGAAGUAUAAGUUAGCCGUGUCGGAGUACAAGUUAGCCUUAUCCAACACGUAUCAGUCUUUUUUUUUUUUCUUUCAAAAAAAUAAUAUUAAUUGCCCGAUACUUUUCCGAUACGCGUAUCGGAACGUAUCGGUAUCGGAUACGUAUCGGACACGAUUCUUCACCAUUUUUGGAGUAUCGGGGCUUUAGAGCAUUGUAUUCAUAUUGACUGCUGGUUUAGAAAGGAAAGGCUUAGCAAUAUCUGGUUGAUUCUGGUGUUUCAUAUACGAUUAUAAGGUGCAUUGAUUUCUGUCCAUAAUGUUAUUUGAUGGAAAGUAUUUGGUACAUUAUUUUGGAAUAAUGUGUCAAUUUUUUUAUUGUUUGAUCUUUUCCUUUAAUUGUAUUAUAAAUAAAAUGUUGAUACUUGUAGUUCAAGAAAUUUUUCAAUCAAUGCUACAAUAUUAUCAGGAUACAUAUUUGUUUUGAAUGAUAAAAUUUUCAGUUUUACUAAUUUUGGUUUAUAAAAGUUGUUAAUCUUGUGCCUCAUUUAGAACUAGGAUAAGAUAGGGUUGUUUAGAAUUUUAUGUGCGCCAUUUAGUUAUAUGACAAAUAUAUUAUCCAUGCUACUCUAGAAUUCUCCAUCAAAAGUAAAGGGCAUUACUGAUAAGUUUGAAUUUUACCAUAUGAUUUUUACACUCUAAAGUUGAAUCCAAAACUUUAUCUUUGUCUAAGCUUCCAUUGUAACUUCAUAUGCAAAAUGCCUGAACAAUCUAAUCUAAUAAGUAGAAACUACUUGAGUUGUUUGCAUAUCAUAUGAAGGGCGAUGAGCUGAUCUUGCAGAAGUCUGUAUUCAGGUAUCUUAUACAAAUAAUUGCUUUUUACCCGGUCUUCUAAAAGAGCAAUUCCAUCAUUUUUCAAAACUUGAAUUGGUUCACCCACAAAGGACUUUAAGGCUUGGAUUUCAAUGCCAUCGAUCGGAAUUAUCUUAAAGUCCUUCAUAUUAACAUUGUAACAAAAAUCGAGGCCUAACUGGUCCCUACAAAAUCGGUUUGUAUGGUGAGGAGUGCCUCCUCUUUAUAAACUUUUCUCAAGAAUCCUAUCUAUUCGAUGUGGGACUAAAUCCCACCGAGUGAUUGCCGCUAACAAACAUUUGAGAUUUAACCAUAAAUCUAUUAUUAGCGCUAUCUAAAGCAAGUUUACCAUAUUUUGUACCAAAAAAAAAAAAAAAGCAAGUUUACCAUAUUCAAAUUAAGUAACAUAAAACCACACAAUACUUAACUUUGUGUUAUUAGUCAAAUGAAUGACCACUUUGUAAUCAGUGGCGGAGCAAGAAAUUUUAUAGAGCCUGGGCAAGAAAAUUAUCGCAAAAUGUUACUUCCUUCCUGCGAAUAAUUUCACAUUUCCUGCGGAUAAUCUCACAUUUCCUGCGGAAUCUGCAGGAAAUCCUAAGUAAAAUCUGCAGGAAAUGUGUUUCCUGCGGAAUUUACAUAAACACUCGUAGGUAAAUCCGCAGGAAAAGCUAAAAAUUAUAGUAAUGCCUGGGCUUGCUACAAAGAAAAUUGGAGCUGAGCCUGGGCUAGUGCCCAGGCUAGCUGGGUGGUGGCUCCGCCCAUGUUUGUAAUACUGUAUUUUAUUGUAUAUAAUACUGAAGUAUUUGCUACAAGAAAAAACUGACAUUUCUUGCUAAAGAUAUUUGUUAAUCUUUUUCCUUUAAAUUUCAGGCACAUGUUUACUCUACUUUCACAAAUUCAAAUUGUCAUUUUGAAUAGUCUUAUUGUUUUCCACAAGUUCAUCAAAAAAGUUUUUGCAACCAAGCAAUUUUGCUCAAAUAGUUAAUGAGCUUCACCAAACCAUGAAUUGUUAGGAAAAACUUAAGUGUGAUUCUUGUUAAAACAAUUUUUAAGUGUGAUUCUUGUUAAAACAAUUUUUGGUCAAGCUAGCUGAACUCCAGGUUACUAAACAGAGGGUUAACAAAAAAAAGAAAAAAGAUGUUUUUGCUGUCUACAUGAAAUGAAAGUAAAUAUGUUUUUGCUCAUAUUUUUGACUAGAACUAGUCUAAGCCUAUUUUUGCUCAACGUCUUAUUUACCCCAUCUUGCUUUGUUUUUCUUGGCCACAUGAUUAUAUCAACAACGUUUUUUUUUGUUAGCUAUAAUUAUGCCUUGCCUAUUCAACAUAAAAAUCAAAUAUAAUUAUGCAUUUUUUAUAAGGCUUAAUUACUCUUUUGGUCCUUUAACUUAUUUUUUGGUUUCGUUUUGGUCCCUUAACUUAUUUUUUGAUUUCGUUUUGGUCCUUAACUCUAAUACAUUCAUCCUAACAUAAAGGACCAAAGUGGUUGACAGAGGAAGAGUUAAGGGACCAAAACGAAACCAAAAAAUAAGUUAAGGGACCAAAACGAAACUUUUAAUAGUUAAACGAAACCAAAAAAUAAGUUAAGGGACCAAAACGAAACUUUUAAUAGUUAGGGGACCAAAACGAAACCAAAAAGUAAGUUAAGAGACCAAAACGAAACUUUUAAUAGUUAAGGGAUCAAAACGAAACCAAAAAAUAAGUUAAGGGACCAAAUGAGUAAUUAAGCAUUUUUUAUAACUAAAGAUCAAAUAAAGUCAAAUUGUUUGCGUAUAAGUUUUAGGCCGUUUUCAUAAAGUAUCCUUGAAUUAUAUUUUAAAUAAAAAAUUUAUACUUUUAUUAGUCCAUUAAAUGAAGCUUUGCUAAUAUAUUAUCAGGACCAUAUUUAAUUUGGAUGAUAAACUCUAUUUUUUGAAUGAUAAACUCCAUUAAAUAAACUCUUUUUUUUUUCAAUCAAUGCUACAAUAUUAUCAGGACACAUUUAAUUUGAAUGAUAAACUCUAGUUUUUGGCAUUUUUAUAAUCUGAAAAAGAAUAAGGAAGUUUACAUUCAUCCUCACACUAAGGUUAAAUUUACGGCGGAAAACCACAAAAGUAAAGCAAAUAAUUACAAAAUGGAAUGAACUGCAAAAUUUUCUCUUAUUAAUGCAAUAUAUUUGCUUAUGGGACUGCAACACGCUUUCAGCUUGCUACUAUGAAUACCAUUUUGCUUGAUCCCUUGGUUCUUGAAGGGAAGGAAACAAACAAAGUCAUAGAAACACCCGAGACAACCCUCCCACAACAAGUCAUUUUUAGGGUCUCUUUGAUUUUGUCUCAUCUUAAUCAUUUGAGACUGUAACAUAUUAUUAUUCUCUGAAUAGGCUCGCUAAGUUGAAAACCCGAAAGGGCGGCUUAGGCAAAAAUGAGCACCCCGCUGGAUUGACAACCCGAAAAGGGCAGUUCAGGCAAAAAUGGGGCAUUGAAAAGAAUUUAUUUCCCUGGUGGAUCGAAAACCCGAAAGGGCGAUCCAGGCAAAAAUGGGAUGCAAAAAAUGAAUGAUUGAAAAUUGAGAAAAUAACAUGCAAAAAGCAUUGACCACAGAUGCGACGUCCACGAUACAUCCGGCAUUAUUCCCAGUAGAGUCUUCCGAGAUCCUAUCCCCAGCCAGUUGCAUGCCUACCUGCCCUCAGCCAGGGUUCCGAUACGUCUCCCAACGACGUCAUCUCCAAAGAGGAUUUCCAAGAAUGUGUAAUAUAGCACGAGCCACUACGUGCCCAAUACUCUAAUGUCUUGUCUUCCCCGUGAAGUCGUGCCUACAAACUGCCNNNNNNNNNNNNNNNNNNNNNNNNNNNNNNNNNNNNNNNNNNNNNNNNNNNNNNNNNNNNNNNNNNNNNNNNNNNNNNNNNNNNNNNNNNNNNNNNNNNNGAGAAUGAUCUUUUGAUUAAGGAUGGCUUCUUCCAAAUUUAGGCUUCGUUCGUUUCUUAAAUUCCUAAGUUUUUCUUUUUUUAAUCAGCAAAUAUUAUUAGGCACGGCUAGCACAACGAGCGCUUGNCCGGCAAGGAGGAAAAGGAGUACAAUUAGGCACCACUAAAAUACGGCAGUGCUCCAACAACUACACAACUCAAAAAAAAAAAAAAAAAAAAAAAAAAAAAAAAAAACCCUAUGAACCCAACUCAAAAAACGAGCAGGCACUAAAACAAAACUAUGAACAAUAGAAACCAAACAGGAAAAACACCUAACAAACAGACCAACAGCACUCCUUCCUAUAGAAGCAGAAGCUAACUGCAUACACCAUAACUGAAAACCAGCACCACAAUAGACUGUUAUAACCAGAGAAACGCGACUGCAUAACAACCAGAAGGCGACCAAACAGCCGCACAACCAAAGAAGCCAGCAUCACCGCAACAAACAAACCUUCGGAUUCCAAUUCCACUCAUAAAACAAACACGCGUGCGAAUUCAACCUACCCAAAAAUCACCUCCAAGACAACACCUUAAAAGAUUCCAACAGCUUCUCCACAUCUGUCACAAUAUUGUUGAAAAUUAUGUCAUUCCUCGCUUUCCAAAUACUCCAAAUUGCGGCAUGCCAAAUUAAUCUACCACCCCAGCGCAGCUUUUUGUUCAAAAACUCACCAUUCCAACAUUCCCGCAUAAUAAACAGAUUAAGAGGGAUUAAAAAAUUAAAUUCCAACCACUCCAUAAGCUUACACCAGACCUUACCAACCCCUUCGCAAUGAAGAAAAAGAUGUGUUAAAUCUUUAAUCGAAUUGUUGCACCAAACACACUGAAGAGAGCUAUCCGGUGGGAGCGAGUUCCUUAUAGCAAGGUUGAUCUUUGUUGGGAUUCUAAAAACCAUCACUUCCGACGGUGCCGGGCUCUUCCAAAUAUGCGAAAAAACCUUCGUCGGGAGACCAUCAAGACCAUCCUCCCUUAUCAUCAAUGUUUCCAAUUUAGAAUAAAUUUAUUUUAUUGACAAAGCACCUUCCUCAUCCAACCUCCAAAUCCAAUCAUCCCCCUCCUCGCCCAACACAAACCCAUUCAAAUCUUCUAACAAAUCGUGAAGAAGUAAAUCCUCCCACACAAAAAGGUCCCUUCUUCAACUAAAAGCCCACCAACCUUCAAGACCGUCUCUCUCCCAUAAAUCUCCAAUAAAAGCCUCUUUCUGAUUAGACAAGGAGAACAAUCUUGGAUAUUUCACCCUAAAGGAACUAUUACACAUCCAAACCUCAUUUCAAAAGCUCGUAGUCUGCCCAUUACCAACUCCCCGCAACAUCUCCGAGUUAAACCAAUUAAGCCCAUCUCCAUCUCCCAAGUUGACAACGUCCUUCCACCACCGAGAUGCAUAGUUAGGACAAUUAGCACCCUUUAGUAAUAAAGGUUCACCAACACCCUGACCAUAUUUCUCCCUAUCUCCAUCUCCCAAUCUUGAUGGUUAUGUAAUGUUAUUUUUUUGGCUAUGUAAUGACUUAUGAACAUCAAAUAUAUGACUUAUGAUGGUAUGCAAAUGUUUGUCUUUUUAUAAUCAAAGAGUCUGUCUUUUACUUUUUACUUUGUUUAGCAAAUAUAUGCACCAUGGAUCACAGUGAUAUCUGUUGUGAAAAUUCAAGGACCUAUUUGAUGGUAUUUUCACUAAUUUGAGGAUCGAUAUGAUGGAUAUGCAUAUAAUUCAAGGACCAAUUUGAUUGAAAUUUUUUGACAGAAAGGUUUGAUUCAUUCAUUGACAACCUCUUUUCAUUACAACAUUACAUGGACUUGGCACAAUACAAUAACAUUUUAAACAAUUCAAUCAAACAAAAUACUCCUAUCAAUAUCUUAAUCAACCUAAGCUCACUUCCUACACGAUCAACUUUAUCCAUCAACCUUGUCCUCCAAACCUCUUCUCUGCCCCUAUCCUUUGGCUUCUCCAUCAACCUUGCAUUUCUUCCAUGACCAACAUCAUUGUUUUUAAAAUAACCUAGUUCUUCAACUUCAUCAACCCACAAAAAAAUAUUACAAUUUUCACCAUCAUCCUAUACAAUCAAAGGACAAAUUCAGUACUAUUUAAACAAACCAUUCACACAUCACAUAACCAUUGUUAAACAAAACUUUGGCAGAGGACAGACAUAGAAAGGCCUUCCUAGGUUAUUGACAGUGUUGGCUUUUCUUACAACACAAAUUCUAGGACACCAACAUUGAAGUUAUCUCACCUCAUCAUUGUACAUAGAGCUUGAAGAUGAAGACCGACUGUUGUAGUUGUUUUUGCCCAGACGUCCACCACCCAUCAUUUUUGAACACCGAAUCUUCAACGAUGACUACUGAUUUUUGAAUUUUGAAUUGAAUCAAAAAAAGUUAGGGUUUUAAGUUUUUUGAAUUGGGGAAGAACAUUGACAUCAAUUCAUGGAAGAAAUUUGGGGGAUUUUGAACUCUAAGUGACAAAUUAUAACAUUAAGGUUCCAAUUUAUAUAUUUGGGGAAGAAAGAGAUGUUAAUGAGGAAGAGGAGAAAGAGCCGUUAAUAAGAAAGAGGAGAAAAAGCAGUUGGCAAUUUUCUGAAAAUCCAUCAAUUUGGUCCUUGGCAAUUUUCUGUAAAUCAAUUAAUUUGGUCCCUGCUUGCGUGGCAAGCCUUGUAAGAGGUUAACGUUACACGUCACCUCCGUUAACAGAGCAACUUAAACGGAGGGACUGAUUUGAUUGACAUUUUGUAAAUUCAGGGACAAAAUAGCUAUUUUGCAAAAUUCAUGGACGAAUUUGGCCGAUUUUUGAAAAUUCAAGGACGAAGUUUAGGUAUUAGUCAAUAAAAGAGUGAGUGUUAGAGAGAGUGUUAGAAAGAGAGAGUUCAUAUAUAGCACUCCUCUUUAACCCAAUAAAUAAGUGUUAGAUAAUGUUGCAAGCACUACUCAAAAUAAAAUAAAAUAAAUAAGGGUGCAUUUGUUUCAAGUUAUAUUUGCAAUGCAUAUUCCUACGUGAUUUGGUAAGGGAUAAUGUACAAUAUGUGCGGGAUCAUGGUUCGAACGCUGGACACCCCACUUAUUCAUCUAUAAGAUGAAUUUCUCUAACCACUAGACUACUUGACAAAAAAAAAGAUAGAAUUAUGCAUAUCUAGAUUUGUUACAAGUUUAAUAAAUUUUAAUCCCGCGUAUAAAACGUUCCUGGGAAUAGAAAAAAAUUUCCCAAAGAAAAGGGUAGGAAUAAAGUUCUCAUAGAGAUGAGAAUAAGUUCAUAUGUAAUUACAUAUUAUAAUCCAUAUUUUUAUGGUUCUCGUGAAUAUUAUACUGUUAAACAAACAUUUUUUUCUAUAUACCUUAGAAUAAAAUUCUUAUCUUUAUAUUCCAAAAAAUGUUAUUCCUAAAAAUAAAUUUGAUAAAUUUGAAACAAACUACUCAAAUUUAAAUACAUUAUAAAAAUUAUACUAACAUAAACUUUGAAUUUCCACAAAGAAACAUACUUUCAAUUAAAUCAAGUAUAAAGAUUUGUUUCUUUAUAAGCCUAGCUAGAGAGAGGAGAAUAUUUUCAUAACAACCCUAGCACAUUAAUAAACUCAAUAAAUAAAUCCUUUCUUAACCCACCAAAUUAGUUACAAUGUUUCCUUCUUUAGACCCAACAUUCAUUUAAACCCUAUCUUCUUUCUCCCCAAUCCAACGGCNNNNNNNNNNNNNNNNNNNNNNNNNNNNNNNNNNNNNNNNNNNNNNNNNNNNNNNNNNNNNNNNNNNNNNNNNNNNNNNNNNNNNNNNNNNNNNNNNNNNUUCGAUUCUCAUAAAACAGGAUUAGUUACACAUGGGAAUGAUAAACUAGCCAAAUAUAUGGCACGGAUGACCAGAAUUUUACACAUGUGUGACCACUAUUUUUUCAUAAAUUAGAACUUGUCCGUCCUUAGGCGUGAUGAACGUGCAUGUUGUAAAACUAAUUAUUUCUGGUUGGAAAGGCUUUUAGUGCAGUGUUCAGAUGAGAUUAUGUGUUUGAUUCUCAUAAAACAGGAUUAGUUACACAUGGGAAUGAUAAACUAGCCAAAUAUAUGGCACGCAUGACCAGAAUUUUACACAUGUGUGACCACUAUUUUUGCAUAAAUUAGAACUUGUCCGACAUUAGGCGUGAUGAACGUGCAUGUUGUAAAACUAAUUAUUUCUGGUUGGAAAGGCUUUUAGUGCAGUGUUCAGAUGAGAUUAUGUGUUCGAUUCUCAUAAAACAGGAUUAGUUACACAUGGGAAUGAUAAACUAGCCAAAUAUAUGGCACGCAUGACCAGAAUUUUACACAUGUGUGACCACUAUUUUUGCAUAAAUUAGAACUUGUCCGACAUUAGGCGUGAUGAACGUGCAUGUUGUAAAACUAAUUAUUUCUGGUUGGAAAGGCUUUUAGUGCAGUGUUCAGAUGAGAUUAUGUGUUCGAUUCUCAUAAAACAGGAUUAGUUACACAUGGGAAUGAUAAACUAGCCAAAUAUAUGGCACGUAUGACCAGAAUUUUACACAUGUGUGACCACUAAUUUUUCAUAAAUUAGAACUUGUCCGACAUUAGGCGUGAUGAACGUGCAUGUUGUAAAACUAAUUAUUUCUGGUUGGAAAGGCUUUUAGUGCAGUGUUCAGAUGAAAUUAUGUGUUCGAUUCUCAUAAAACAGGAUUAGUACACAUGGGAAUGAUAAACUAGCCAAAUAUAUGGCACGGAUGACCAGAAUUUACACAUGUGUGACCAAUAUUUUUCAUAAAUUAGAACUUGUCCGUCAUUAGGCGUGAUGAACGUGCAUGUUGUAAAACUAAUUAUUUCUGGUUGGAAAGGCUUUUAGUGCAGUGUUCAGAUGAGAUUAUGUGUUCGAUUCUCAUAAAACAGGAUUAGUUACACAUGGGAAUGAUAAACUAGCCAAAUAUAUGGCACGCAUGACCAGAAUUUUACACAUGUGUGACCACUAUUUUUGCAUAAAUUAGAACUUGUCCGACAUUAGGCGUGAUGAACGUGCAUGUUGUAAAACUAAUUAUUUCUGGUUGGAAAGGCUUUUAGUGCAGUGUUCAGAUGAGAUUAUGUGUUCGAUUCUCAUAAAACAGGAUUAGUUACACAUGGGAAUGAUAAACUAGCCAAAUAUAUGGCACGUAUGACCAGAAUUUUACACAUGUGUGACCACUAUUUUUUCAUAAAUUAGAACUUGUCCGACAUUAGGCGUGAUGAACGUGCAUGUUGUAAAACUAAUUAUUUCUGGUUGGAAAGGCUUUUAGUGCAGUGUUCAGAUGAGAUUAUGUGUUCGAUUCUCAUAAAACAGGAUUAGUUACACAUGGGAAUGAUAAACUAGCCAAAUAUAUGGCACGUAUGACCAGAAUUUUACACAUGUGUGACCACUAAUUUUUCAUAAAUUAGAACUUGUCCUACAUUAGGCGUGAUGAACGUGCAUGUUGUAAAACUAAUUAUUUCUGGUUGGAAAGGCUUUUAGUGCAGUGUUCAGAUGAAAUUAUGUGUUCGAUUCUCAUAAAACAGGAUUAGUUACACAUGGGAAUGAUAAACUAGCCAAAUAUAUGGCACGGAUGACCAGAAUUUUACACAUGUGUGACCACUAUUUUUUCAUAAAUUAGAACUUGUCCGUCCUUAGGCGUGAUGAACGUGCAUGUUGUAAAACUAAUUAUUUCUGGUUGGAAAGGCUUUUAGUGCAGUGUUCAGAUGAGAUUAUGUGUUUGAUUCUCAUAAAACAGGAUUAGUUACACAUGGGAAUGAUAAACUAGCCAAAUAUAUGGCACGCAUGACCAGAAUUUUACACAUGUGUGACCACUAUUUUUGCAUAAAUUAGAACUUGUCCGACAUUAGGCGUGAUGAACGUGCAUGUUGUAAAACUAAUUAUUUCUGGUUGGAAAGGCUUUUAGUGCAGUGUUCAGAUGAGAUUAUGUGUUCGAUUCUCAUAAAACAGGAUUAGUUACACAUGGGAAUGAUAAACUAGCCAAAUAUAUGGCACGCAUGACCAGAAUUUUACACAUGUGUGACCACUAUUUUUGCAUAAAUUAGAACUUGUCCGACAUUAGGCGUGAUGAACGUGCAUGUUGUAAAACUAAUUAUUUCUGGUUGGAAAGGCUUUUAGUGCAGUGUUCAGAUGAGAUUAUGUGUUCGAUUCUCAUAAAACAGGAUUAGUUACACAUGGGAAUGAUAAACUAGCCAAAUAUAUGGCACGUAUGACCAGAAUUUUACACAUGUGUGACNNNNNNNNNNNNNNNNNNNNNNNNNNNNNNNNNNNNNNNNNNNNNNNNNNNNNNNNNNNNNNNNNNNNNNNNNNNNNNNNNNNNNNNNNNNNNNNNNNNNGUUUCUUUAUAAGCCUAGCUAGAGAGAGGAGAAUAUUUUCAUAACAACCCUAGCACAUUAAUAAACUCAAUAAAUAAAUCCUUUCUUAACCCACCAAAUUAGUUACAAUGUUUCCUUCUUUAGACCCAACAUUCAUUUAAACCCUAUCUUCUUUCUCCCCAAUCCAACGGCUACAAAUCAAUCCAACAUUUAUCGCCGUCACGACUUAAGUGCCGUUUGAGGUUCAAACUUUGAUUCCCCUAACGCCGUUAAUUAACGUAGCAACAAAAACACGCCACACACUUCUAACGGUAAGUAACGGCAACGUCGGUGAUAAACGUUAUACGCAACAAUUCAUAAAAAAUAAAUAAAUAUAUAAAUUCGUUUUUUUUGUUUAUUAUUAUUAAAAUUAAAAUUCAAUUUCAAUUUUCCAUUGAUUCAACGUUCGAGGUUUUUUUUCGAAACCUUAGCUUCGUAGAGAGAACAACAACAACAAUUUUGCUUUGUCUUUGUUCUAUGAGCUUCACUUCAAUUCCCGCCACUGCUUAGGUACUUCUUCUUCUUCUUCACUCUUCGAAGAAUUUCAAGAUUUCUGUUUUUUUUUUUUUUUGAAAAUUGAGGUUUUUUUUUGUUUGAUUUGAUUGAGUUUUUGUGUUUUGUUAUGGUAAAAAACGGUUUUUUUUAUUGGUUUUGUUUUGGAUAAAGAUUUUUAUUUUUUAUUUUUUUGGGAAAAAAUUGAAGGUUUUGAUUUGAUUAUAGAUUUUGAGAUCUGGGUUUUGUUUGUGUUUGUGUAAAAGUGUGAAAGUUUGGAUUUUUUUGGAAAUUGAGGUUGGUUUUUAGGGUUUUUGAUGUUUGGUAAUUGAUGGGUUUUUAGGGAUUGAAGGUUUUGGUUGAAGGAUAUGGAUGAGUUUGAAUCAGAGGUUUGUUGUUUGGAGAAUAAACAAUCAACUGUUGCUUCUUGCUCAUCUGUGUCUGAAGGCAGUGAUAGUAUAAUUCAAAAGUCUCCGGGGAUAUGUAGCCCCACGGCUACAUCCACAUCGCCCUCACAUCGGUAAUGUUUGUUAUGUUAUUUACUUUUUUGGUUGCAGUUGUAAUUAUGGAUAAUGAUCAUGAUGGUGUAGGAUAGUAUGAUGUAAUAUACAUGUUUUAUGCCAAAUCUGCUAUUGGUUUAAUUUCACAUUCUACAAUAGUAGCUGAUUCACUUUUGGCAAAUCUUUGAUGUGGCGUUCAUGCACUGAUUUACACCGUAUAUGUUUGUACAGGAGGACAACAGGUCCUAUAAGGCGUGCUAAGGGUGGUUGGACAGCAGAGGAGGUUAGUCUUUGCUGAUUGGAGACAUCUGUUUUUUUUCUCGUUCGAGAAAAGCGGAUUGAAUUGGGAAUUUUGCUAAUUUGAUUUAACGUCUUUGACAAUUACCAUUUACCUCUGCUUGCAUAUAAGUUAAUAUUAACUGUUCUUAUUGUGUUCUUCAAUUUAUUGUAGGAUGAGACAUUAAGGAAUGCCGUUGCAGCUUUUAAGGGAAAGCAUUGGAAGAAAAUAGGUAACUAUUUACCUGAGUUAAUGCAUUUGACAAAUUGCUGACCCCACUUAGUGGAAUAAAGCUUGGUUGUUGCUGUUGAAUGCAUUUGACAAACUGAAAUCACUUAUUAUUGCUACAUCUUUUCUUCCAUGGACACAUUUAGUCAAUAAUUCUGUGAUGAUGAUCUUUGUAUGUGAUUUACAAAUUUAUGAAGUAAAUGUGUAUCAUGAGGAGGGGGUGGGGGUUGAAUUGUGACCUAGUCUCUUCACUGAAACAGUAUCCUCCAAAGAGGGUUAGUUGCUGAAUCGAUAAAUGUAACCUAGUCUUAUGGAGAGGGAGUUACUAGAAUCAGAGUUAAUGGUGAAAGGGUUUUAUGUGUCUUUGUAUAUCUGAAUCUGAAUGCAAAUGGUUUAUACUCACAAUGUUUGCAAUAUCUCUGUUUUAAGAGUUUUUUUUUUUAAAAUGUUGCUACAAGUAACCUUACUUUAACCACCUAUCUACUUACACCUAGCACGCCAAACCUGGCUUUGCACAAACUGGAUAUUUUUUUCAGCCUCGGCAGGCUUUGUCCACUUCAGCUCUUUUUACGCAGAGCUAACUCGUGUAGAUUGUACUUUGACCAUACGUAUGUUCUCAAUGUGAAAAAGAGGUCGAUGAUCCUGAUUCAUCUUAUAGAUCAUAUACUCUGGAGGACUCAGAGUAUAUGAUGGAAAAAUAGAAAGAUCUAUGCCACAGUUUUCAAGUGGGCUGGGUGAAAUUUAGAAGUGCUUUGAUGGUGUUUUCAAUGUGUAGAAUAGAUCCAGUCAUCACCUGUUUUAAAAUAGAAAAUUCAGCCGACAUUUAUUCUUAAAGGAACCUGAAAAUUAUCAUUAUGAAACUGUUGCGCUGUUAUAUAAAAAUUAUGUGAUUAUUAUUUAUGGGAGGAGUGCUAUGGAUACUCUCUUUCUAACACUCAUUCUCUUAUUGGGUGAAUUUCAACCAAUAAAAGAGUGAGUGUUAGAAAGAUAGUGUUCCUAACAUUUCUCUAUUUAUGGUUUUCUUUGUACUAGGGUGGAGCCAGAGAUUAUACUGCAGUUGAAAGACAAAUAUAUUAUUCAAUAGAUAUAGGCUUGAAAAAUUCUUUUUGUUUGUUUCGAUUCUUCAGGAUGCAGAAUAUUUAGAAUGAAAACCACUAAAAUUAGAACUUCAAACUUUUAUUUACGUUGUUCAUUGUAAUAUUUGAUUGGUUUAAAUAUGAUUUUAGUCCAUGCAAUUAUAGUGUUUUUUGGUUUUAAUCCCUAUAUUUUUUUUGUUUAGAUUCAAUCCCUGAAAAUGCAAAAGUUGUUGCUUUUUAGUCCCUGAUGUCAAACAUGGUCUAAUAAAAUCUUGCCACGUGGCCUAGUAAGCUGAUGUCAGGAACUAAAAGCAACAAUUUUUGAAUUUGCAGGGACUGAAACCAAACAAAUAACUUAGAGGGACUAAAACCAAAAACACUAUAAUUGUAGGGACUAAAGUCAUAUUUAAACUAUUUGUUUUAAAUUGUUCUGUGACGAAGAAUCAUCAUAUGUUUGAACACUUUUAUUUGUUCAUGUGCCUCACUACCAAGUGCUUAAUGAAAGCAUAUGCUCACACUGGUUUUAAAUGUGGAAUGCAGCUGAGUUUUUUGCUGAUAGAUCAGAAGUUCAAUGUCUGCACAGAUGGCAAAAGGUUCUCAAUCCAGAACUUGUUAAAGGACCAUGGACACAAGAGGUUGAAACCUAGUUCUUUUCUUCUUUCCAAAUUUUUCUACAGUUUUGUUCAAACCCUAACUUCUUUGGCUUGGCUUACAGGAGGAUGAUAAAAUUGUUGAACUGGUGGCAAAAUACGGGCCUACAAAAUGGUCCUUGAUUGCCAAGUCUUUGCCUGGUCGAAUAGGGAAACAGUGUCGAGAAAGGUAGGUUAGCUGAAGUUUGUGUCAUUUAUUAUUUGUGCAUCUUUUUAAAUAAUUUUACUGAUAAAAGAUGUUGUUUUCCAUAUCAUUAAAUAUAAAUUUUUCUUGCAUAUCAUCAACUUUUGAAGAUCUUAAAAAAUACAAUUUUAAAUUGAUGACUUGAUUAGUAUAACUUGCUUUCAAUAUUUACAACUCGAAUCAUACUGGUUUUUCCUUUUCUAAUGUUUUCAGGUGGCACAAUCAUCUCAAUCCUGAUAUAAAGAAGGAUGCCUGGACUUUGGAAGAGGAACUAGCCUUGAUGAAUGCUCAUCGUAUACAUGGGAACAAAUGGGCUGAAAUAGCUAAGGUCCUUCCUGGAAGGUAUACUUUCUUAUUAAUUCUUUAGUUAUUCUAAAGGAAAUUAAGGUCAUAACUAAUAUAAUGGAAUGAUAUCUCUACGUUACCAUGAUAAUUGUGAAGUAUCAUCCAGGAUUAGUGGCCGCAAAAAUUUUCCACCUGAUUUCAUUUUCUUUUGUUACUAUAGUAGUGGUGGUGGUAUUUGGAUUUAUUUUUCUUUCUCUCUUUCUUAAUUACAGAUUAAUGAAAGAUAUAUUUUAUCUGUCUUGUUCUAGUGAUUUGUUAGUUGAAUCCCUGUGAAAUUUAUGUUUGAACCAGAAAAGAUAGGACAACAGAUUGAGUAUAUACAACCUCUGAGAACUAGUUGUAAGAUAUAUAUUGUGAUGUGAAAUAGCAUACCAUUUUAUCUAUAUUUAUGACAAAAUGCUAACAUUCAUCUUCGGUAUUUUUUUUUUCUUCUGCAGGACUGAUAAUGCAAUAAAGAACCACUGGAAUAGUUCUUUGAAGAAGAAGUUAGAUUUCUACUUAGCCACAGGAAAACUUCCACCAAUUCCAAAAAGCAAUCCACUAGUUGCUGCCAAAGAUACAAUUAAACGUUCUGCUUCUAAAACAAUACUUGUUUCAUCUAAUAAAGAACUAAAUGUGGCUGUUGAAGCAUCGUCUGAAACUACAGCCAUUAGUAAGCCAGAUGACAGUGGCAAGAUUCAGUUUGAGUCCUCAGGAACAGCUAGAGAAGUUGGUGAUUCUUCAAGUCUCCCGGCAAAUGAAUCUGCUGAUUCUGACUGUGUAGAAGGCAAGCCUGGACCAUCCAAUGUGGAUCUUAGCUGUGGAAACUCAGAGCAUAUAUCAAGAGCUAAUUUUGGAACAACUUACGGGCCAAAAUAUGAGAAUUCUGCACUCAAUGGAAACUCAAUAACUGAGCAUUGUUUAAACAAUGGUAAAAUGAGAAAUAGUAGUAGCGGGUUAAUCCGGACAUCUACACAAGAAAAUCAGACUUGCGGUUCUUUGUGUUACGAGCCACCACUUUUAGCUGGUUCAGUUCCUUUAGAUUCUCUUCAUUUAAGUAUUCUCUGCAUGCAGAAUGAUUACUGUUCUAAGUUGUCACCCAUUGGUUACACCACUCCACCUCGCGCGAGGGUUAGUGAAUUAUGUACGGAGACCCCUGAAUCUAUAUUGAGAAAGGCUGCUAAUACUUAUCCAAAUACUCCUUCCAUAUUUAGGAGGAGAAGAACUGGAGUCCAACCACUAACUUCUCCUAGUAAAGUUUUAAAAGUCGACAAUGAUUCACAUGCUUCUAAUGAACCAUAUAGAACCAAGAAUAAUUCUGAUUCUGAAGCUCAGACAUUGUCUGAGAGUCCCGCAAGCCGUGACAAUAAUAAGGCUUUCAAUGCAUCGCCGCCAUACCGGUUAAGAACCAAACGGACAGCAGUUGUCAAGUCUGUCGAGAAACAACUUGAGUUUGCGUUUGACAAAGAGAAGAAUGAUGACAACAUGAGUGCAAUGGAAAAAUCUACAAAGAGGAGCAAUGUUAUGACUGAGGAUCGUCUGCAUGAAAGAAAAUUGGUUGCUACGUAGUGCACAAAUUGUAAGUUUUUGUUGCUCUUUAAAUGCACCAUAUUGUUUUCCUGCUUAAGCUAUAUGGUAUCGUAUUGUUAUUUGACAUGAUUAUAUCAUUUUGUUUACUUAAAAAGAUAUUAGUUGUCUAUCAAAUUGGUAGCAAUAUCUUUUGCAUUGAAUUACUUCUUUUUGCCGAGAGUCAUAGUCCUGUCAGUAUUGAAUUGUAAGUACUUACAAAUUUGAGUGCUUGCGGGUUUUCCUCAAGCAAUCCAAUUAAUUUGAGUUGGCUUCUAAAGCCUUAGUUCUUAAGCCGUGAGAGUCUCUGGCCAUAAUUGUCAUGCCGAGAGACCAUAGCUGUGAUGAAAAAUAUCUCGAAAACCCUAAACUUCGUGACCUACUCUGACAAAGUGUUAAGAACCCGUGAUUUGAAUUCCUAUGAAAGAACACUUUUUUUUAAGAAAUAUGAUAGAAUAGGAGAGAAUCUCUCCUCCAAGGAUUUUCCCCUCACAUUAUAGUUGAUACUCUAUUAAAAAACUUUACAAUAUUCAAUUAUCUCUAAUUAGCCCCCCCAUUUAUAAAAGAUAAUCCUAACUACCACAUUGACUAAUAACUUCCCCAACUAACUCCUUAACUACUCAGAUAUCAUUUAUUAUAUCCUACACAAAACUCAUCCAUUAGACUUGUCAUUUCCUAUUUAAAAAAUGGGGCUAUUUCGUCAAUUUCCAUCUUCUUUUCUCCAUGUUCUCUAUUCGAUUCUGCUUCUUUCUUUUUUGCUGCAACUUUUUCAGCAUUCAAAUGCGACGACAAGCACCGCCGGCGGACAACCAUCACAUUCCCGUACAUCUUUUCAAGUUGUGCGCCCCUUCCAAAACUCAUUCACCUUCUCAUCAUGCUUUCCGAUUACUAUAAACGAGACCGAAUGAAACUAUCACUGUACGGUUCUCCGGCGGUGUGAGGGAGAAGAGGAAUUCGCCGGCGGUGGAGUUGUAGAUCUGAACGGAAGAUCAAAGCAUGGUUACCGAUGAGGACGAUGGUGGUGAGAAGGAAAGUGGUGUGGGGAAGUAGAGAGAACGCCGUAGAUCUCACUGGAGAGAAGAGGUCAUGGUGGGUGAGAGUUGCAAAGACCAGAAAGAAGAAAAAGAAGAAAGAGAAAAUUAAAAGAAAAAAAAAAAAAAAAAGAAGUAAAAACUUGAAUAUGUAUACGAUCGUGUCGUAUAUUUGUCUCGUUUUUGUGUUCAUUUAUCAAAACUCUUUUUAAAUUACGGACACUAUGAAAUGUUUUUUAGAAAGUAACAUAUUAACAUGAUAAACGAUCAUAUAAUACUUCAAUCACACUUAAUUUAUUUUAGAAAAACAUUAUAUAAUACUUCAAGCUUCCUUUUCAAACAACGUCGAUACUAUUGUUUGGAGUCUGAGUCAAGUCAAUUCUAUCCAUGUUUUUUAGGCAAUUUGUUCUUUUCAUUGAUGAAUUUUCUCAAUGUAAAGAGUUGUCUUCUAUUUUCAAGAACUUGUGGCGAAAUAAGGAAAUCAAUCUGGUCAUUCUGUUCACUAGUGAUAAUACAAAAGUAUAUUUUUCAGCUCUAUUUAAUGCCUUCAUGGCAUCAUGUGGUUUGACUCAUCUAUCUACAACAUACAACAUGCUCACAUAAUGAUGACAUAAAAUGUAGAAUACAUGGUCCCAUCCAUUAUUGACAAUGCUUACAUUCUUCUGCUGCCUGCUAAUGCACCUUUAAAAUUAUGGGGUGUUGAAGUUCUUACUGCUGGUUACUUAAACAAUGGGAUCUCAUUGAAAGUUUUAAUUAAGACAAUGCCUUAUUCUCCCUUUAGAUGAUAGGUUUAGUUAGGCGAUAUAUAUUUUGCUAUGUAUUAUUAUUUAUCGCUAAGAGGCGUUUCUCUCAAGGAAUUCAACUGAUUCAUGUUUACCUUUAUUUCAUUCAGCAUCAGAUGAUAUAUUCUUCUUGCAGUUUUUGUUUACUGAUCAAAUUUUGGCAUAAGCUGUGAUGAAUCCUAAUAACUCUUCUGAAUUGAUGCAGGGGUUUUUAUAGUAGCUGGACUUGCUCUUGAAACUGGUUGAUUGUUUCUCUAAAUUGAUAGACAAAGUUUACCACUUUUUACGAAAUUAAUUCAGAUUGCAGAGUCAAAAUGACUUGGCGUUGGUGCUUUUGUUUCCAUCACACAUCAACAUAAUUCAGCAACAGUAGAUGUCUACUAUGUGUAGAAUAAGGAUUGAUAAACUCCAUUUACUUGUUUAUAGAUAUGUUAUUAUUUUUGUACAGUUACAUCUUAGGAAAAAUAAAUGUUCUUAAGUUUCAUCAUUGUUUUGAGGAGAAGUUUCAUCAUUGUUGAGAUUUUUUUUUUUUUUUUCAAACUCUUAAUUGAAAUGAUUUACAGCCUUAAAAUGCAAAUAAGUGUAAGCACCAGGUACUUUACACUGAAAAUGCUGUGAUAAGCAGCCAAAGGUGUUGCAAUUUUAGACUGGAAAUAGAGAGCAUGCUUAUCAUGAAAUAAUCAUCAAAUUCAAGGAUAAUUAAUGCAAAGGUGUCAUUUAUACUUUGUUUGGUUUCUUGGAAGCUAUGAACUGCUUGAAGCCUACUGUUUGUUAUGAGAAAUUGAUUUUCACUUCUUUUUUUGUUAUUUAUUUUAUUUUAAAUUAUUUUCACUGUUCCAAAAUUUGAAAACAAUUCUUUUUUUGAGAACAGUUGAUGAUAGAACAAAAAUUAAUCUUUUUGUAAUUAUUAGUAUAUUUACAAAAUAGCAAUAGAUGGGGAUGUUUUUUUUUUUUAGCAAAGGAAUAGAUGGGGAUGUUUGGAUGAAGGUUUCUAAUUGCAUUACAUUUUUAAUGAAAAUAAAAAACUGAUAAUUCUUUUUUGCUGAAAUGUACUUUUGGCCCUCUUAUUAAAAACUUGAUUUUUCUGUAUAAAAUUAUGGGGAUAAAAAAUGCAUUUAUUUUUUUAGAAUACUCAUUUUUUGCCAAUACUUUUACGGUACUCUUUUGUGACAUUUAAAUUAGGCUUAAUUGUACUUUUGGCCCUCUAUCUUUCUAAAAGUUGCGAUUUUGACCCCUUAAUUAAUUAAAAUACAAAACAACCCCCUAUGUAUUGGAUCUUUGGCAAUUUUGGCCCCCAAUGCUACUUUUAUUAGUCUUUGCUGACGUGGCACUCACAAUGGUCGACAUGUGGCACCUCACUUAAGGGAUAUGGGUGCCACAUCAGCGAAGACUAAUCAAUAGUGCAAUUAAGUCUUUAAAUUACAAUGAACCAUUUCUAAAAGUUUGAGAUGGAGCAAUGUUAUCUGAACAUUUAAAACAUCAUAUAAAAAUAAGUUAGUUGUAACAAAAAAAAGUUUUUAGCAGACUCUUUACCCUUCUUGGGAUGUAAGUCAUCCAUGAGUUCUUGCCUAUGAACCCUCAAAGAACAAGGAAACUCAUCUAGCUGAAGGGUAGCUUGAUCUAUUGAUAAUGAUACUGAAGUUGCUAAUUAUUUGUUCAACAGUUUCCACCAUCUUAAACAUUUCAUUCUGAUUGAACAAUGAGUUGAUGUUUUUGCCUCUAUCACUUGGUUAGUUCCAUCGUGGUUAACUUUUAAGGCAUCCCAAGUUUCUUUUGCAAUCCAAAGAUUAUUUAUUUUACGGUUAAAUGAGUUUUUGGUCCUUAUAAAUACAUAAUUUAUUUUAAUCUCUAAAAAAAAAUUCAAACAAUAGUUUCCCAAAUGUUUUAUGUCGAUAAAAUUGGUUAUCAUUAGGAAUGUGAAUAGGCUAGGCCGGCCUACAAGAGCUUAUGGCUUAGUCUACGACAGGUCAGGUCAGGCUAGACUUUUUUUCCAAGUAGAGUAGACUUAGGCUUUUGUAAAAGUCUAUUUAGCUAAAAAGAUCAGAUCAUAGGCCAUAAAAAAAACCUCCUAGGCCUACCAGGCUGGCUUACUUAAGUAAAUAUGAAUAAUAUUGUUUAUUAUUAAUAUUAUUAUAUAAUAUUUUGCCCUUUGAAUUAAAUUAUAAAUUUGCUAACGUUUUUAGUAAUUUAAGUUUAUUAGUAUAAUUUGUUUUUUGGCCUAUUCAAAUGUAUUAUUAUAAACUAGAAUUGAAAUAUGAUAUAUAAUAUAUAAUCAAAUUCUCUAAAAAAUUCUUGUUAAAUAUAAAAAAAAUGAGUUUAAUUUAAUUGAUCUAUUAGUUCGUUAGUUGAUUAAAACUUAAAUCACAUUAUUUAUUUAAAGAUGUUUAUAUGAAAUAGGAUUUUAACCAAGCUAACAGUCAAAACCAGACUUUCGACAUGCCAGACUCAGGCUUAAAAAAUAAGUCUAUGACAAGUCGUCGGCAAGACUUAUGCCUCAGAAAAAUUUGACAGACCAGUCUAAAGCCUUGCAAAGCCUAACUCGACCUAACCUAUUUUCACCCCUAGUCAUCAUUGUUAAAAGUUGCAUACUGACAUGACACUGUAUAGGAAAACUAAAAAUGAAAUAUAGAUUUUUUUUUUUGACUAAAAAAUGAAAUAUAGUUUUACUCUUUUGGUACAAGAAACAUAGUAUAUUUAUAGGGAACAAAAACUUAUCUAACAUCAAAAUUUGGUCCUUAUAUCACCUAUAAAUAUACUUUUUCCCUAUAUACAUUGCCACCUUUAACUUUAUUUUAACAGCGACGACCAAAUUUAUUGAGGCAAACAUUUGGGAUAAUUGUUUGGAGAAAUAUUAUAUUUAUAGAGAACAAAAACUUAUUUAAUCAUUUAUUUUAUCAACUCUACUUUUACUAAGAGCAUAUACAGUAGAGUAUGCAAAAUUGGAGUUCAACAAUAUUUGUUUUACUUAAUGUAUGACAACUGAAAUUGGAUUUCUUGGUCAAGUGAUAAUCCACUUAACUAAGUGAUAAUCAACAAUAUUUCAGUUGAUUAUCACUUCAGUUGGAGCUUUAUAAAAGUUGGAGCUAAAAUAAAAGUGAUAAUCCCUUUUAUAACACCAACUAAGAAAAUAGACGAUAUUUGAGCUUUAGCUUUGUAACAGAAAAGUACAAUCCUUAUACUUGUUUAUGCACAAUUGCAAUUGUCAUUUAUUUGGACAGAUCAUGUAGAAGGAUAACCCUGACUUCAACAGAAGCAUGGUAUCUUCUAAAUAACUUAGGUCUUGAUAAUUUUGCCAAUAUAUUUGAGUACUCAACGCAAAGAUCACUUUUUUUAUGAACUAAAUCUCUUAUUUCAGAAUGCUAAAUCUUACAACCAUGGUAAGGAUAGAAAACACCCAGAAUAGAGUUAAUCGAGUAAUAAUGUAAUAUUAGGGUUGAACUUGUGAAAACAUGACAGGCGAAUUUCAAAAAUUAACAACGAAAUUUUUAAUGAUUCCAUUGCACUCUUUUCAUCUAUUCACGCAGAUAAACAUAGUAGUUCCACAAUUCAUGACUAAACAACUUCAUUUUAUAACUUCAUUGGCAAUGUGGCUCUUAUGUNAUUCAAAACGCAAUUUCACACGGAAAACUCAAAUUGGAAACCCAGCUCAUCAACAAAUACUAGCAUAAUUAAAAGGGCAUUCCAAUAAAAUCAUUUUCCUUUUAAUUUUCUAAAAUAUGAAGAAAAAUCAUUUCACAUUUCAUCACUUUAGAGACUGAAAACAGCCCAAAAUUUGCUGUUAGUAUAAAAGCAUCAUUUCUCAAAUAUCUGCAACCAAGGAAAGACGGGAUGAUCCAACCAAAAAACCGAGUUAGAGAGAAGAGGGGGGAGUCAACAUAGUCUUCCUAUACUUACUAAACUAUUGAUGAUAUAUGUACACAUGUAUGUACACCUAUCUAAUAAAGAUCUACUUUAUGCUAAGCAGAAUUAAGCUUGCAAUUUUGUUAGCAUGGAAAUUCCAACAACCAGCAGGUAGAUUCUCCCCACAGGAGCCAAGGUCCAAAGUUUUCCGCACCAAGUAUAUAUCAUUCUACAAACACGUGAAAAGAUAUAGU